This 59393-nucleotide long non-coding RNA is filed under the name Arabidopsis thaliana (thale cress). RNAcentral describes it as "long non-coding RNA (ATHA_LNC000434)". Lineage: Eukaryota; Viridiplantae; Streptophyta; Magnoliopsida; Brassicales; Brassicaceae. The record is from RNAcentral.
GAUAGGCUUUGAGUUUGGUAAGAGAGAAGAAGAUGAGACCGGUGUAACAGCAGAAGCAACUGAUCUACUCAGCAUUUUUCUCUCUUUUUCUCUGUUUCCGCUUCUUUUGGUAUUUUUUUUUUUUAAAGAAAAAAUAAAAAAAUUUGAUUCUGUUUCUUUAACGUGAAUAUGGAUGGUGCUGACGUGGUGAAUUGGGUGGAUGUGGUAAAGAUAUCAUCCUAAUAUUUCUUAGCCAACAAAUUGGAUGAAGAAUUGUUGGACACACAUUGUGGAAAACAAAAAAUUAUUGUACAAACAUUGAAAUGUGACACUUUAUCAGGAAAAAAAACAUUGAAAUGUGACAUGACUUGCACUUUACAAGCACCAACCAAAUUAGGUCUGGACGUUUACUUGGUUACGAAAUCGGUUAUAUUUCGUUUUGGUUCUUUCAUUUUUUUAGAAUUUAUGAUCUAUGUAAGGUACACAAAAAAACUUGGUUUGGUUCAGGUUUGGGUCCGGUGCUUCGGCUCACGAGUUUAUGAUCCAUUUGGAUAUUUUUCAGGUAUUUCCGGUAUAUAUAAUUGUAUUUCGGGUAUUUUUGAGUAUCCAAAAUAGUUAGGAUUGGUUCUAGUGGGUUCUUUCGGUUAUGAAGUUUAUAAUUUACUUUUUGGUUCCAGUUUGGUACUUUUGGUUCGAUUAUUUUGCCCACUAAAUCAAACACAUAGAAGAAGAGAUAAGCUCAAAGGUCAGGUGUUUUGAGAACUUCCAUUGGAGUAGGGUUUAGGAAAAAACUGUACUAAAUUACUGGGAUUGUAUCCAUGGAAUGAUUUUAGGUUCAUUGUUUUACCUUUGAUGUAAUUAAAUUUAAGUCACACAAUUUCUUACUACUAGAUGGGGUAGAGAGAAACUUUGUUACCUCUUAGCUGUAGAUUCAUUAACAUUAUUGCAUAUAUUUUGGUCAAAAUUCAACAAUAUACAUUAAAGUGCCUAAAAACGAUGUUGACCUUUUUAUGUGUCUAAACAAAAAUUCAUAUAAGAAAAUACACACUAAGACGAAUUAUUUGUACACCAUUUAAAGUGUGACAUUAAUCACAUUACAAGCAAGAACCAACACACACACGUGUAAAUGAAUAGAAUAAAAUGACGAAAUUGGAAAUUAAAUCUUGAGUUGAAAUGGGUAAGAAGGCCAAUCCUUGAGAUCUUCUUCUUGCCUCCUCACCUUAAAAUCAUCAUCAUCUACAACACUCUCAUCCAAAUAAUCACUAUACUUCAACAAAAACGCUAACACAAGAACAAUCCACUCUAAGCAAAACAUCAAUACACACAAACCACCAGAGAGUUUAAGUAUCACUUCACCGUCUUCUUCCCGAACAUAAGAUUUCAAGAACCUAAGGAAAUCCCCUGUUCUCGUGAAUAUCAGAACAGAGACAGCGCCUUGGAAAAUGGCCGUGAGGACUGUGGCUACCAUGUGUGAACCGUAUAAUCUAUCGCUCGCGGUGGCGGAUGUGGAGGAGGCGAAGAUCGAGCAGCCGGAUACCGCGGUUGCGAUUGUGAGAGUGUAGAGGAAGAUAAGGGAGAGACCGGAGAGAGAUGGGAAGAGACGGAGGGAGAUUGUGAGGAAGAUGCAACUUGAGGCUGAGCCUAAGAGGAUGUAGUUGCAGAGAAGGAAGAUGUUGUGUGUGUUGCCUUUCGAUUUCGACAUUCCCAUUUUCUCGAAUUCAAGAAGAGAACUUUGGUUUUUUUUUGGGGUUUUGAUGUUUGUUUUUGUGUUUCUUGAUAAGUUCACUUUGAUUUGGGGUUUAUAUGCAUACAUAAGAAACAAAGUUGAGGUAAGAGAAAGUAGAGAUUUUGUUGGGAUUAACGGUCGUUUUUGUUUUUGAAAAUAUGACCGUUAUGACUUAAGGACGAAGACAGAAUAAUUCAAUUAAGGUGUAACGGCUCGAUAACUUUUUAAUCUUGUUUUUUAAUUGGUUUUUAAUAGUAUGGUUUUGUAAGUUUUAAGGUCAACUAUGUGAAUGUCGGAUGUCCCACUGAAGACACUAAUUUGUUUCAUAAAAUGAGAUUUAUAAAAAUUAGUUUAUUGGGUAGACACAAUUGAUAAGAAAUUGAGUUUGCUAAAUAUAUUAUGAUGAUAAAUAAUACACUUUAUUUGUUAAUCAGUUUAUUAAUAAAGUCCAACACGUAAAGGGAAUAUCAAUUUUAGAAUGGUCACAUUAGUUUAAAUGUUAAGAAUAGCGGGUUAAUAUUCUAAAAGAGUUGUAGAAAACGCCAUUUGAAAUUGAAAUUCAACAAUACAAAGUUUUACAAAUGUGAGAUAUUAUUGCCAAUACAAAUUUCGACAAAAAUGUCUUGUUUCAUAUGGGAACGGACACACAUCGCAUUUGGUAACGGGGACAUCUUUAAAAAUGUAAAUGAUUAUGGAUAUAAAUUGAAUAUUUUGUAACAUCCUCCUAAUGAUUUUUUAAAAAUAUCUUUAUGUCUUAUAAUUAAAGAUCUAAUAUACAAUCAAACGUAACAAACAGUUUUUAAUAACAGUAAUUUGUAUAUAAAUUAAAAAAAAAAAAACUAUGCUAUGACUUUUAAAAAAUGGUAUAUCUUGUAGUGAUAAAGUAAUUAAAAACAUGUUAGUCAAAUAAAACCAUUUGAUGCAUGAAUUUUGACUAAAUUCACAAAAUUUAAUUUUUCAAGAUAAACUACCAAUAAAUCCUUAAUAUUAUUAUAAAAAUAUAUACUAGUCAUACUUAUUUCAUUAUUUUAAUAAAUAUACAAAUGUAAUACACGAACUAACUACCAAAUAUUAAUUUAAAUCAAUUUUGAGAUGUUUUAAAAUUAUUUAGUAUAAAUUAAAACUCUUUUUAACACAUUAAAAUUCGUGGUUGGACACUAUAUAUAUCCAUAUCCCCAGAAGGGAUUAAGUUACAAGCAAACAUAUAAAAAACCAUAGCUAGCUACAAAGUGAACGUAUUAAGUCGCCAUUACCUACAAGGCUACAAAGAAGAUAAAGGUAUGUAAGCUUUAUAUGUAGAUUUGUUUUGAUAAGAAUGUAAAUAUCAUUUCAAGAAAUGAAUGAUUCAGAGAUUACAAAGUAAAUCCUAAAAAGGCUAAAAAAUAUGGAAGCAUACACAUUUGAGGAUCAAAUCAUCACUAAAUCCUUAAGCGGUGAAACUUUAGGCAAUGUUAUGAAAUUAACUUGAUAUAGAAGACUCCCCUAAACUAAACAUGGCUAGAAACAAGAGCAAUAAGGGAAAGAGAGAUCUUCAAACUGACUAGAAAGCGUAGUGGAAGUCCCUUCACAUCAAUAAGCUUUAUAUAUAGUUUGGGAAAACAUUUAUUUUGUUAUGAGGAUUCCAAUUCAGAUUUUGUUAUGAGGAUUCAAACAUCUAUUUUUUUAGAGGAUUCGAAGCCCAUUUAGGGAUUGAAAAAUAUUAAAAAUUAAAUUAAUAGAAAAAAACUCAGAUUUUAAUAAAUUUAAUUUGACUGACACUUAUAUUUCUCUUCAAUAUAUAAUAGAUAUAAGAUAUAUAUCCGAUAUAUCGUACCCACACUUUUCUGUUAUCAAAUUCAUAGUGAAUAAUAAAUCAUUCACACAAUCACAUAUUUCCUUACAAUAACUAAACAAAAAUAUUCAUCAAACACUACCAUGAUCCAUCACACACCACAAUAAUGAUAUUUUCUUAAAAUUUCUAAACAAAUAGAUCAAUUGGAAAUUUUCUUAAGCAUCAACUAUGCAAAUUGAAAUUAAAAGUAUAACUUAAAAUUUAUGAUAACAAUUUUAAAAGAAAAAAUGUGCACAUCGUUUUGUUAAAGACUAAUAUUUAAUUUUAAACUAGAAAUAUUAUCUUAUUAUAUAAAUAUUAAAUACCUAAUAAUCAUAUUAUUUUUACAAGAAUAUAUGAAACAACGAUCCUUGAUUACUUAAUUCCUAAGAAGAUAAACUAUCUAUUUUAUUAUGUUUUGUUAUCAUAACUCAAAAUUUAUAUAAUAGAAAAAAGCGCGCUCACUAUUUUGUUAAAGACUCAGAUUUUUUGUGGUUAAAUAUUACAUGUAUUUGUUUCCCAAAAUUUACAGUCAUCAAAAUGAAUAUAAAUCCAAGUUAAGUCAAAUUGCAGUUGUAAGUCUCAUAUCAAAAAAAAAAAAAGAAAAAAGAGUAACAGUCUCAAACGUCAAAAACAAAUUGUGCCUUGCAUAAAUCAGGAGUUCAAAACAAUAAACGAGAAUUAGUGGCUUUACUGUAAUGCUUAACUGACGCCAUUUUGAGUAGCAUAUUUUCUUUAAUAUUAAAUACAUAAAUGCAGUUAAAUGUAAAUGUCUUUGUUAUCCUUUAAAAUGGUAGUUUCUAAGUCUUUUAUUUCAUGGAAAAAAGUCCGAUGUUUUCUUCAUAUUAAACGCUCAUUUCAUUAAUAAAGCAAGAUUAGCAGCAACUAAAAAAGCCAAUGGUGCAUAUGAGCUUGUUUCUUUCGUUGGGUCAAACAGUUGUAUGUAUACACAAUAAACCAUCUUUUGCUUUUCGGUUAUAAUCAUCACAACCCAUUUGCUAAUUUUUCCCUCAAAUCUUUCCUCAAAAUCAUCUAGUAUAUGAUGAAGUUUUAAGAAUGAAUUCAGUGGAAAACACUUUGUAUGUAAAAAAGCGUGUGAUCCACAUAAAUUUACAUCAAUGACCAUACUUACAAAUCAAGUUUCAUUUUUUGCAUCAUUGACCUAAGUUUACAAAUAUAUUCAUAAACUAACUAAAUAAUAUCUUUCUUAAAUAUAUACAUAAUUUUUGGCUCACUGGGCAAUACAUCAACUAUUAAAUUCUAUUAAAAAACAAAAGAAAACAAAAACAAAAAACAAAAAACAAAAACAAGAAAAACAAUUUUUUUUAAAAACAAUUCAUCCUCUCUAAUACUCUAACUAACAAAUCCUGAAAUUUUGACAUUCGUAGCACAAAAAUGUUAUUGUUAUGAGCAAGUGACAAAAACAUUUUUAGAUAACUCGAUAUUGCUCUACUCUUUCACAAUCAUUUCUAAUCAUUUAUACGGAAUUGUAAAGAGCAAACCUAUAAAUUAAUGAUUCGGUAGUGAACAAAUUGGACUAGUUUUAGCAAGAGAUUAAAAAAAUGAUCUAAACAUUGAUGUAGAGAGAUGAUGAGAACAAUAUUCGAUUUUAUGAUUUUUUUUUUAAUUAGGUGAUUAUACUUCUCACCAUUUUUCCAUGUCAAUUUGAUUAGUAUAAAUAAAAUAAUUUCAGGAAAUUAGUAUAUUGAUUAAAGAUACAUACUUACAUUAUAUAUUAUUUUUUCACAUAUAAGAAACACAUAUAUAUUAUUUUGCAUAUUUAUUAAGUUUCAGGUAUCACAUAGAAACCAGAAUAAUCCAUUGCAGUAACUUCGAGGCACGACAUAUUCCUCAUGUUUGUUUUCAUUGCAGAGUUUUGUGCAAGCAGUCUCACAUAAUGGAAGAGUUGCCUUUUGAGAAACUUUCAUGCAUUGAUUCGGGACACAAUGCUUAACACAUACUUCCACCGUACUCGCGUAUGUUGAAACAAUCAUCGUUAAUAAAACUACAAUCAUCAAAACACUGUAUAUCUUUUUUAUUGUUUGAGUUGCCAUUAUUUGAAGAGAUAAAUUUAUGAGUGUUCAAAGUUAUUAAAAUUUUGCUUAGGUUAUAUAGCAAAAAAAAAAUGUAACAAGUGGAUUAUUGUUGAGUUGUUUCUAUAGUUUUUACUUUAUAUAGCAAAACUAGUUUUGACUACUUAAAAUUAUUUAUUUUGGAAGUAUAUCCGUUUGAUUUUUAUUUUUUUCAUAAGUUAGUUUUUUUGUUUAUGUUGUUGACUGUCCAAACAAUCUAUCAUUCCAAAUUCUUGUUGUCAAGAAACAUAGAAAUAUAUUAAUCUCGUUCCAAAUUCUUGUUGUUUAAAAUUAUAUAUUUUUUUAGAUUCGCUAAUGAGUUUCUUAAGAAUGGAUUAUGUUGUGAAUGUUCUUGAUUUAAUUUGGAAGAACAAAGCUCAGAAUCAUUUAAUCAUUUCAAGAACAAAACUCAAAAUCACAUAAUUGUUUAGAAGGACGAAGGACAUAUAUUUUAGCAGAGGAAAUAACUCUAAGUCUAAAUGCCUUCUUAAGCCAACAUAAUCUACGUUUGGAUAGAAUAAAUAACCGGAACUAUAAGACCAAUUUUUUAUUGAUGUAUUUCAUGUCCUUUUUAUAUCUCAAAAUAAAUAAUCUCAACACAAACAAAAAAAAAUCAAUUACAGGCCGCUCUACAAUUGUUCUACGUUCUCAAAUAACAAAACCAACUAUCGUUCCUGCAAAAAUGAAUAAAUCAGUUUUUAAAUUCACAACAUUUUUGUUUUUUUGUUGACCAAAGCCAAACAUUUUUUUGUCGAGGAAAAUAAUAAGCCCAAUAUAUUUUUUUGUCGACUUAAGCCCAACAUUUUAACGACAUCUAAUAAUAUAAGCCCAUUUCUUCUCAGUCCAAGAUCAUAAGAUAAGUGUUAAAUAACAAAAUUAGAGAUUCUGACUAACUACAGAUGUCAUUGUCAUCCUAGUUCCUAGAGGUCAUAGUUUUGUAUAACAAACUACUCUAUAAAGAGUAUACCAAAGAUAUUCAAUACUUAUUUUAAAAAUAUUAAUUUAAUUUUUUUACUUAUAUUUUUUUUCCAAAAACAAUUUUGACCGUACUAAAUUAUUAUUUUUUUAGUUCCAACCCUUAAUAUACAUAUAUAACAAUUUUAUGUACCUAUCUUUCUGAUGCAUUUCAAUAUUAAGGUCUUUGUUAAGUGCAAUGUAUACCAAGCACCACUCGAUCAUUGUUUCAAGAGUCCAAAAAUCAAUUUUAUCCAAAUAUUUGAUCUAAUCAUCUCUCUAAAGACUAGAAAGAACUAAUAUUGUUUUGGUCCAAAAAUCCAAAUGUUGGCAACAACAAACUUUGAAAAAUAUUUUAAAGUAAUAUCGUUACGGUUUCUAAUACAAAUACAUAAUCAUAUGUUAUUUUCUUAAAUACAACACUAUUCACCUAAAUUCUACUACAAAAACUCUACUUGAGUUACUGGAAUGGCUAAUUUGAAAGGCUACUUGAGCAACCAUUGAGAGAAUAAUAUUUACGUGCUGGUCAAGUCUAUGAAGAUAAAGAAUCCUAAAAACUAAGUACGCCUUACUAGUUAAAGACUAUCAUUGAUUAAACUCAGGAUACAAUAAUAGUCCGAGACCAAAUUGCUUUUAUUAUAAAAUAAAAUAAAAAUUGUUUUUAAUUGAAACUUAAUUUAGAAGAGGUCCAAGGUAACAAAAUCAAACAUCCUCUCCCAUUCUACGACGCAAUGAGGAUCCCUCUGAAGGGGGCUCAGCCUUCACCUUAUCCAAGAUCCUAAACACUUUAAUGUCAAUGAUUCUUUGAGAGAAUUUCUUGAACUGCAUCAUAUUAGAGAGCACAACGAAAACAGAUUAUUGAGCUUACUAAUGGAGUAAAUCAGUGUACACUAUGAAAGCUAAUAGAAAAGUAUCAAGAAUAAAGUUGUAGAGAAAGUUUUACAAGGGAAAAGAAAAACAUGUGCUAACAUAUAAGACCAAGUAUUAACAUGAAUAACAAUAACCCACAUAACGUACCACAAAUCUCUUACGCCCCUGGGAUAUGCUGAGCGACUUUACGACCGGGGGAUUAGCUGAAGUCGCCAUGAUUAAGAGAGUGUGCAAAGUUACGCGUUUCCUAAACAAGAAAUUUUGAUUCCAAAAGCUUACAAUUAAAGUUUCUACGUGCAAAGAUAGCAAUUAGGGUUUAUCAAUCUAGUUACUUGUCUGAGAAUCAACAUAAGCCUUGAAAGUGAAACAACAAAAGUAAAAGCUUACGAAAAUAAGUUUGGUUCUUAAGCUUGAGCUAGUAUGAGCUUGGGAGGAAUUUGAGAAUGCGGCAGAUGAAUUUAAGGGUUUAAGCUUUCUUUUAUUGUUUCUCAAUUAAAGAGGCGGUUAGGUUUGUUCUGGUUUUAUCUGUACUCUUUAAAAUCAACCGAUAUUCAUAAAACUAAUUCAUUUUCUUGGGCCUUAACCAACCUUAGUUCAAGCCGAGGCCUAUACAUCCUUAUUGUAUAAAAGAUUUUUUUGUUUCUUCUUCACUUUUUCGGCAUUAAUCUCUACUAAGAAAAUUCAUAAUCAUAAACAAAGAGAGAAAGAAAACUAGCUAAUUUUUUUUGAAUUUAAUGUUAAAUUAUAUUCAAAGAAAAAUAAACUGUUUAUACAUAUAAAUGCAAAUAUUUUUUUUAAAAAAUAUAUCAAAUGUGUAUCCUAUCUAUCCUUGAUUUUGAUCUUGCCUUGAAGCAAACCACACUUGGAUUCCUCUUGGGUACUUCUCUUCACCUCUCACCCUUAGCGUGCUUAAUCGAUUCUUUAUGUUUUUGUCGAUUAGCCUGAUUAUCUUCUCCGUCCUCGAUGAAAACGGAAAACUAGCUAAUUACAUGGAAACGGAAAUGAAAACGGCUUUUUUUUAUAAAGAAAUUAUGAAAUAGAGAACUAAUAGGGCAAGAACAAAUAAAUUUUGAUUUUAUAUAAUUGAUUUGAGAAGAUAAAGCUCCACCAACGUUUCUUUUUCGACGAAAUACGCGCAUGAACUCUUCCAUCAUUAGAUUAUCCAUCAACAAAUUAGUUAACUAUCAAUGUGAUUUUCCCAUGCAAUUUUUAAUCGAAAACUAAAAUCAUUACAUAGUUUUUUUAUUUUUUUUUUUAAGCAAUUUACCUUUCUCAAAUCAUCAUUUUCCAUUUGAAAUGAAUUUCUCUUUCUACACUACAAAAUUUACUAGCAGUACAUAUAGGGUAGGCUGAAUUUUCAGCCUUAUACUAGUUGGAAUCUCAACUUUUCACCAGAGUCUUUUAGCCACUUAAAAAACCAUCAUAAAAAACUUUAAUUUCGAUAAAACUACACAUACUUUCGGAUUUGUUCUUAAAACUACGCCUCCAAUUGAACCGACCAGUUAACCGAUAAUUUUUCAUCCGGUUUGACUUACCCAGAAUUUAACCAAAAUUAAUCCGAUUUUGAUUCUAUUUUAGCAAUUUUGACCAAAAAAAUGUAAAUAAAUUGUCUUCUUAAGAAGUAAAAGUAUUUUUAUUAAUUUUUAUUUGUGAUAAACAAUUAAAAAUAUUAAAUUAUAACUUAAUUUUAACAAAACUUAAUAUGACAAAAUAAACCCCAAAUUAUAUUUUGAGCCUACAUUUUGUUAUAAAAUUUUGAUAAUAUACAAACAUAUACAUUUUCCUUUUGCCAAUCAUUUCUAUUUUUUAUAAACUUAAAGCUAUGUCUUUUUUUAAAACAAAAUAUUCAUUUUUCUUGCAAUCAUAAUAUAUGACCUUAGAACUUUAUAUAUAUAAUGAAAUUCAAAAAAUAUGCCAAAUUUAUUUUUAUAUAAAUAUAUCUGUAAACACCACAAUCAAAGUAUAUAUUAUGGUAUUUAUAAAUCAAUUUUUCUUUAUAGAUUCUGUUUUCUUUUUAUAUAUUCAAGAUGAGUUAUAUAUAUAUAUAUAUGUGUGAUUAUGUGUUUUAAAAAAGAAAAUAACCUUUGAAUUAUUAAAUUUAGAGUAUAUACCAAAUACAUUUAUAUAAAUAACACCAUUGUAUUUAUAAAAAGAAUUUGUUGUCUAUUUUGUUAUAUUAUUUUGCGGUAUAUAUUUUUAUUAUAAAAGAAUUUUGGUAAAAUUAAUUAAUUUAGUAUUUUUAUCAAAAUUAAAUAAAUAGUAUUCUUCUUCUAGAGAAUAUAUUUUCUGGGUCAAAAUUGGGUUAAAAUAGAGUCAAAAUCGAAUAGGUUCGGUUAAAUUUUGGGUAAUUCAAACCGGGUGUAUAAUUAUUGGUUAACUGGUCGGUUCAAUUGGAGGCGUAGUUUUAACAACAAAUCCGAAAGUACGUGUAGUUUUAUCGAGAUUAAAGUUUUUUAUGGUGGUUUUUCAAGUGACUAAAAGUUUAGGAUGGAAAGUUGAGAUUCCAACUAGUAGAGGGUUGAAAAUUCAGGCAACCCUACAUAUAUCGUAUGCUCUACAAAAUAAAUAUAGAAUUGAUUAAUAAACAACUUUAGUUCCCUUAUAUGUAUCUGAAUUAUCAUUAAGAAAGAGUUUAUGUAUUGGCAUCAAAAGCAUCUAGGAAGAGUAGAAGGUAUGAGUUUUGACUUGUGUGCAUGCAGUCUCUGGUGCUGUUGGAUCGGUCCACCGUAAACCGAGAUUGUUCUACUAGAAAGCCCGCGAUGCUUGGUCUCCAAUCCUAGAAAAUUGAAGAUAAUUGAUCGACAAACCAAAGAUCCUCACAUAUGAAUGGAGGAGUCUCCCCUUGAAGAACCCCAUUCUUACACAUCAGAAAAGGAGACUUAAGAAUUCGAAUCAGUUCGUCCAUUAUCUAUUUAAUUUCCUUUCUCUUGUAAUUGCCGAGCCAAAAGUUAAAUAAAAGAAGGUUAGAUCCAUUUCUCUCGUCACUUGGAUUUUACCAAAAUGGGUUUAGGGUUAGAUUGAACGGACUGUACAACAAUUAAACAGGUUAAGUGUUUAGCGCCUAACAAUUUUUUUGAAAACUGCAUUUAGUAUAUUCUAUUUUAAAGCCAAGUAUACUUAAAAUUGCUUGCCAAUCCACAAAAUUUUAUUUUAAGUAAGGUUUUGACAUUUAUUUGUAAAACAUAUUUUGCACGUUUGCAAUCAAUUUGUGAAAUAAAAUUUUGAGUUAACGAAAAACCUUGCAUAUAGAAUAUGGAUCUUCGUAAGAUUGUAACAAUGAUAAGUAAGAGUAUCAUCAACCUUUUAUUAACGAGUAGGAGAAAGACGACAAACAAAAUGUAUCUUCAACGUGUUAUUUUAUCCACUUACUAAUUCAAGAUGGCAAUGUUAUUUGUCUUAUUUCUUGCCAUGUAAAACAGACUGAUGUCAUCCUGUGGCUGUAUUAUGCAGAAAAUAGGAUGUGAGGACCAUUACAAUCGUAAAUCUAACCAAACCAUUAUAAACAUUUAAAAUGAAAAAGUUUAAAAGCUAAACGUGUUAAGUGUUUGAACGAGAACAAUCGCUAGAGAAACAUAGUAAAAUUUGGAGUUGCGAGAGAAGAGAAGAGGAUAUUUUAUUUAUAAAAAUAUAUAUAUAUAUAUAUAUAUAUAUAUAUAUAUAUAUAUAUAUAUAUAUAUAUUAUGACAGGAAACUUUUGUUGAAAAUUCGUCAAAAUCACAGUUUGGUAGGAGUUCAACUUUUUUUUUGUUUCUGUGCUGAAAUUCUAGGAGUGGCAUUUUAACCAAACCAAACCCAAGCUUAGACUUUAACCAUUCGGUUAUGUCUCUUCUCAACCCAAAUGGUUCGGUUUGGUUAGGUUUGACAACCCAAUAUAUUUAUUUAAUUAAUAAUAUUGUAUAUUAUUAAAUAUGUAAUUAUUUGCACUUUUUUUUCAUGGUUUAUUUGAAUUAUUAAACUUUUUGCUUAAGCUAACUUAUAUCAAAUUUAAAGUUCAAACGAUAAUGAACAAAAUAAUUCUGUUUCAUUACAUUGAUUAGUCUUCUAAAACUAAACUAAAACCAAACCAAACUAAAGUCAAAUCAAACCAAACUGAACCGAACAUAGAUUGACCCAAAUCAAACCAAACUGAACCGAACAUAGAUUGACCCAAACCCUAACCAAACCAUAUACUAGAUCGGCUGCGGCAUAAAAAGUGGUGAUGAUGUUUUAUUCUAUGAUUUAUACACUAACCGAUGUCAAGUUGGACUUUUCCCUGAUGUAGAACGAGAUUGGAUUUUCAGAAGAACAUAAACUUCUUAACUACACAUCUAGCUUGGUUGGUAUACCGUAUCUCUAAAUUACAAUUUAUUUCCCUUAGAUAAUAAAAUUCUUAAUAAUUUGUACCAAUCGUCAUUGUGACGCUGGUUUAUGUUUUCCUACAUUUGAAGGCCUCCAUAGGCCCAAUGGAUUUCUAAUUAUAUAUCUUCAAUUGCUGGUAUAGGUAACAAGAAGAAGAAAUAAGAGAAAAAGGAAUUUACAUGACCUAACUUGGCGAAACGACAACCACAAGCAUGGCGAUGUCCAAUCUUCCAAGAGAUUUGUUGGAGGAGGUACUCUCUAGGGUUCCGGUAAAGUCUAUAGCAGCAGUGAGAUCCACUUGUAAAAAUUGGAACUCUUUAACCUACGGUCAGAGCUUCACGAAGAAGCUCUAUGGUAAAACAAUGGCAACAAAGGAAAAGGAGUUUCUGGUGGUCAUGACUAUGGAUUUGGAGGUUUAUUUAAUGAGGGUCAAUCUCCAUGGAAUUCAUAAAGAUGAUAACAAUGUUAAAUCAUCUAUCAUGCAAAAAGCUAAACUCAUUAGGCUAAAUGAUGAUCGAGUUCGAGUCGAUGAUAUAUGUAAAGUCUUUCACUGCGACGGUUUAUUGUUAUGCAUCACUAUUGGGAUCAGGCUUGUGGUUUGUAAUCCUUAUUGUGGGCAAACAAGGUGUAUCAAAACCAGAAGAGAUUACCAUAUAACCGACAAUUACGCUCUUGGACACGAGAAGAUGAAGAACAGCCCACUUCGUAACUACAAAAUCUUGGUGUUUCAUGAUAAAUCCUUCCUCCAAAAUUCUUGGUUUGAAAUCUACAAUUUUAACUCUGAUUCAUGGAAGGUUUUAUAUUUCACUUGUGACUGGAAAUUACCGUUUUCUCAACUUGUUGUGUCUCUCAAGGGAAAUACUUACUGGUUUGCUCGAGAGAUGUAUAUACACGGACCAAGAAUAGAUCUCCCUGAUUUCUUGAUUUGUUUUGAUUUUACAACAGAGAGAUUUGGACCGCGUCUUCAUCUGCCGUUUCACUCUCGUUGUGUUGAUACUGUGACUCUCGCUAGUGUUAGAGAAGAGCAGCUUGCGGUGUUAUUUCAGGACUCAAAAACGUUGAUCCUAGAGGUAUGGAUAACGACUAAGAUUGAGCCUAAUGCGGUCUCAUGGAGCAGCAAGGUGUUCUUAGAAGUGAAUAUGAGUCCACUCACUGGUUUUCAGUUUAAUCGUAGCUUUGGGAGUUUCUUCAUUGUUGAGGAGAAAAAUGUCGUUGUGGUUCCUAUUAAAGGAGGGCAUUUCAAACGAAACCUAGCUUACAUCAUUGGAAAGGAUGAAUACUUCAAAGAAGUGGAUCUUGGAGUGCCAAGUUCAUAUAUAUAUUUUUCCCCACAUGUGUGCUCUUAUGUUCCAAGUUUAGUACAAAUCAAGAAAGAUGCACAAGUGAUGCUGCAACACCAUAACGUCUCAGCAGAAAAGCAUCAUGAGUUUUGUGCAUCUUUGUGAGUUAUUUAAGUUAUAGAUAGAGCUCUUCUAUGGCAGUACAAUAAACUGUUUCCUUUUGCUCAUCUUCUAUUAUUAAUUUGUAUGUUUACCAUUGUUCUCAGGUAACUCAACAUAUAUAUUCCCGAUGGAUGACGAACAAAAAUACUUUGCGUCAUGUGUUUGGCCUUUCCACCAUUUCUUUUCUUUUUCUUUUUUCUUUUUUGAAUAUCAGGAGGUUCUGAACCGAAACCCAUAAUUUCCCAGGCGCAAAACCACAACAUGUAAUAUUAGUUUCAUUCCAGCGCACCCGAAUCGACGAUCUUUAAUCUCUAGGUUCUUUACCAAUUGAGCAAACGACACUUGAUCCUUCUAUCAUUUCUUGAUACAGUAAAAGGGCAUCUUGGAAGCUUCCUUUGGCAUUUGCUAGUUAGCUGAGAAACUAAAGGAGUAUUAGAAGAUCAUGUUUUCGUUUCAAGUAUCUGCUUUAUCCACAAAUAAAUUAAAUGCAAUUAGCUAUACAUGCCACAUCUAAUCGUUUCGGGGGAGUGCAUUUGUUGAUAUCAAUUAUGAUGGAGGCACAUGUUCCUUUGUCGUAAUAGAUUAGACUCUGGAAUUGUGACGAGAAGGCUCUUUUAAUUAUCACAAUUACAAUAAAUAAAUAGGAGCCAUUUCUAUUCUAAAUAUAUGACACAGCACGUUUCAUGGUACGUCUUUAGCUUUUCCAAAGAGAAAUAUGUUAUUUUCAAAACUUGCAUCACAUCAAGAGGGCAUGUAAGUAAAUGAUUAAUCUAACGCAAAAUCUUUUUUGUUCUUUCUUUUGCUUAGAUAAAAUAUUAAUAUCAAAUAGUCCACAAAGUGGAUGAUCGGAAAAGAGUUUUACAUUGUCUGAAUCGUUACAAAACCAAAGGAAAAAAUUGACAAGAAAGAUUGCUUGGAUCAAUACAAUAUAGGUUAAAAUUAAGCCGGUUUGGUAAAAGGUGUUACCAAUCAAACCCAAUAUAUUAUGCAUAACGCUGUACAUGGUAAACAAUGACUAACAAGUGGGUCAUAGCCUUGGUGAGCCCGGAGGAUGAGUGAUGACCCUUUGAUGGUCUUCUCCUCGAAUCGCUCGGCUGCAUUUGAACUUUUUUUUGAAAUCCAAUUUGUAUCAACCCAUCUUUCCCUCUUACUGCAAUUCAAAAACAAAUCACUAAUAAGAAGAGUUUUGCUAACACUUUUUAGAACUAUCUAAAAAUUUGAUUAGUAAAAGUUUGAUUAUGGUCUUUUAAAAAAUGGUUUGUUAAGGAGCAUGACUCCUUGAACUAUCCCCAACGUAACUGCACAUAUAUGAUUUUAGAAGAAACAAAGAAUCUAAGUAAAUCCAAGAAUAUAAACAUCAAUGAAACAAGUAUAAGCCUAACAUGGGUCAGCCUUCUAUGUUAGCCAAGUAUAACAUAGAAAGUAUAAGCCUAACAUGGGCUUAUACUUUCUAUGUUAUGUUCUUUAAUGGGUCAGCCUUAUUUCCUCCGCGAUCCAAACAGGCUAAGACCGCGAGGCCCACAUUUUUUUGGGCUUCCUUACAUGGGCCCGAACCCGCCCCGCAACAUCCCAAAACGGGCCAGGCCCGCGGAUAAGAGGCCCGAUUGACAUCUCUAGUUUCAAACUAUCUAACUACAAAUUAUUGUGAAACCAAUCAAUCUAUAUAUACAUCUAUAUAUACAUUUUUGGUAGACUUUUUGGCCAAAAAUCCCUAUACUAUUUACUAUUAACAUUCAGGUCCUUACAAAUUCUAUCAAAACCAAAUAUUUUAUGACUAAAAACUUACAAAUCGUUAAUUUUCAUUAAAUAGUUUAAUCAACUCUUUCCUAAUUUUUCAUCCUUAAUUAAAUCUUUCUUUAUUGAACUAUAUUUGAUUAAGGCUAAUUUCCUAAAAUCUCUAUAUCGAUAUUAAAUAUAAAUAUAAAAGAAGUCAAUAAAGAUAUUUGUUGUUAUAUCUAAUUUAUUUUGACUUUAUAUAUAAAAUCCAUAUAGUUAAUAAAAUAUUUGAUUUUUCUUCAUCUUAUGUAAUUCAUAUUUUUUAAAACAGGCAUAUAAUACUCAAUCGAUGAAAAAAUAAGUGUACAAGAUCCCACAUUGAUUAAAAAUUGGGAUAUCAUUUAGAGACAUACUAUAAACAAGUACCAAAAUGAAUCUGAAUAUGAAUGAGCAGGAACUUUGAUAUAUCAGACAUCUAAAAUUAAAAGUGUUAUUCGGUUUACUCCGAUUUUUUAUUUUAAAUAAUUAAAACCUUAAAAGUUUUAAGAUAUUAUAUAUAUUUCAACUUUAUUAAAAGUUAAGUAUUACAUUUAAUAAUUUUAAGAUUUUAUGAAGUUUUAAAUUUUGUAAAUAUUUGAACUUUAUAAGAAGUUUAAACAUUUAUAAAUACAAAAAAAAAAUAUGGGACGAUAUAGUACAGGUGAAAUCCUAGAUGUAAAAUCAAUAUACAAUUAUGAAGUUUGGAUUGAUACUAAAACUUUUUUGAAGUUUUCAAUAUUAUAAAUAUUCGAACUUCAUAAGAAAAUGACAAAAUGAUGUUUAAUUUCACGGGACGAGGUUAUAUGGUGGGAUGGGUUUGGAUUGAUAUUAAUACGGGAUGGUAUAUUAUGAAUGUAUCUAUAGAUCAUCUUAAAAACAAAAAUUUAAUUUUUUAUUUAAUAAAAGUAUAGGCCUAUUAUAUACCUCUUGAAUAUGUUAUUUGUAUAUAAAUAAUAUUAAUUUAAAUAAAAAUCUUUAAUUUUUUAACAAAAAUAUCAACCUGCGAGCAGCGGUGUACCGCAGGUCAAUCUCUAGAUAAUACAAGUUUUAAAUCGUUAUUACCCCUAACCACAAAAGCAAAAUAAUGAAUUUUAAUAUUAUGUGUCAAUAUCAUAUUAUUCAUAUACAAAUAAUAAUUCUUAUAAAAAAAUGAACAUAUUCAUCCGAGGUGUCCCGCGGGUCAAUAUCUAGUUUUGCUAGACUUUUUGGCCAAAAAUCCCUAUACUAUUUACUAUUAACAUUCAGGUCCUUACAAAUUCUAUCUCAACCAAAUAUUUUAUGUAUAAAAACUUACAAUUCGUUAAUUUGCAUUAAAUACUUCAAUUAACUCUCUCUUAAACUUUUUUCUUAAUUAAAUCUUUCUUUACAGAACUAUAUUCGAUUAAGGCUAAUUUCCUAAAAUCUCAAUAUCGAUAUUAAAUAUAAACAUAGAAUUUUUCUGUCACUAUAUUUGUUCUUAUAUCUAAUUUAUUUUUACUUUAUAUAUAAAAUACAUAUAGUUAAUAAAAUAUAUGAUUUUCUGCAUCUGAUAUAAUUCGAAAACAAAUAAAUAACUUAAAAGUAUAUUUUUUUAAAGUAAUAAAAAUUGUCCGGAAGUAUAUCAUAGUAUCAUACAUAAAAAACAAUAGCAUGUAUCUAUAAAUCAUCUUUAAAAAGAAAUUCAAUUUUUUAUUUAAUAAAAAUAUAUGCAUGUGAUGCACUUCUUGAAUAUGUUAUUUAUAUAUAAAUAAUACUCCCUCUGUUUCAUAAUAUAAGUUGUUUUAGACCAAUUUUUUUGUUUUACAAGAAAAGUUAUUUUCUAGUUUCUAUGCAAAUUAUAUGUUACUUUAAUAUUUUAUGAUUACUUAUAUUAUUUAGUCUCUUUUAUGAUUGGUUGAACUUUUUCAAAGUAAAUAUUCUUAACUGAAACAACUUAUAUUGUAAAACGGAGGGAGUAUUAAUUAAAAUAAAAAUCACUAAUUUUCUAACAAAAAUAUCAACCUGCGGUUUACCGCAAAUCAAUCUGUAGAUAAUACAUGUUUUAAAUAUUUAUUACCUCUAAAAAACCUUAACCACAAAAAUACUGAAUUUUAAUAUUAAACUAAUAUACAACAAAUAUCAGAACAUAAAACAUGAAUUAUCCAAACUUUACAUAGAAAAAAAAUAUAUGUCAAAAAUAUAUGCCGUGAAUUCGAAACUUGUGUUUGCCAAAACAAUCGCACAUUUGCAAUUUCGUUAAAUUUCUGUCUUAAAGACAUAAUCUUUUUGAUCAUUUAGCUUCCAUAGCUACCGUAGUAUCUAAUUCCUUCCCUUAGAUUUUGAUUUCUCUCAUUUUAUGUUUAGCGUUAACGCAAACGAGUUCAAAAUUUUGAGUUUUCGGUUUCUUAUUUUUAGAUACAUGCCUCAUAUUUAGACUUUUGCUGGUAUCUUGCUUGAUUCCUUUUGCAAUUUCUCUUGUUUACCUUGAAAUAUAAUUUUGUAUUGAUUGAUAAUACACUUGGUGUGAGCAGUUUUUGAUGGGAAGGGAUCAAAUGGAUAACAUUGUGGAAUCUUUGCAAUUAGAUAAGAGUAAGUUCUUAGAGGAAUCGAGAAAGAUGACAUUACUAAGCUCUUUCAGCCAUGUCUAAACAUUUUCAAAUGUACAGUAUUAAAUUACAUUGUAGAUAAAAGCGCGCUAACAGCUCCUCGAUAAUUAUAUUACAAAAAAAAAACGUGCGGUUUGGCGUGGUUUGCCCUAGAAUUUUUAAUGUCUUAGUACUCCAAUGUUUUUUAUAAAAUUUAAUGUUGGAUUUUAAGAGUGAUUUUUCUAUGAUUAAUAUACAUAUAAACUAAAUUCCUUAAUUAUUAUUUUUGAUACAACUUAAAUUGAUUCAUGCACUUACCCUUGCUAUACAGAAACCUAGAAAGAAAAUUUGAAUUUUGGCAUUUAAUCUUCACACACAUUAUUAGACUUUCGAUUUAAUUCAAUUAAAACUCUUUUUUCUUACACAUUAAAAUUUGUGGUUGGACACUAUAUAUAUCCUUUUGCUUUGACGGGAGUUGUGAAAGCGACAAGCAAAUAUAUAAACGACCUUAUCAACAAAGCAAACGUAUAGCUACAAACGAUUGUGAGCUUUUAUAUCAAACAAUGCAAACAUAUAGAUCCUCAUAACUAACGUGGUACACCCAUAUAUAUAACUUAUAUAUUUGUAAAUCUGCUUAAAACUUUACAACUUACGGCCUUUAUACCUUUAGAUACGGCUAUGCAACUAUACUUUUACUGGAUUUGUAGGUUUGCAUGCAAGAUUUAAGUGCCAUAAACCUAAAGCCUAAGGGUCAAUGUAAAUAUAAAACAACCUAAAUCUAGAUCUUUAUAUCACUUUGCUCUUUUCAUGAUCUCUCUCUUAAGUUUGGUUUUCCCUUCUUUCCUUUCCUCUAGUGAUUCACCACCUCUGUCACCGUGGCAAGAAUGCAUAGUAUGUCUGCCUAUUUCUGAAUGCCGCAUGCGAUUUUAACCACACAAAAUAAGAGGGAAUCAAAAGAUUUUUUAGAAUAGUAUAAAUUUCAUUAUUAUUUUAAUUGAUAGACUCUAUGGAAACAGCCAUUUUUCUGAAGAAAAAAACUACGGUUCUAGCCUCAAAACUAUCACGUUAUCUUCCAUGUCAACUGUCGGUUACGCACAAUGUUAUUUUAGUCAAAUUUUAAUAGAUGGAAAUGGUCACUAUCUUUGAUUUAUUCCAUAUAUCAUAUAUGUGUCAUUUACUUAAUUUGGGGACUGGGGUUAAAACGUGGCUACUACAGCAAUUUUAUCUUAAACUAAGUAAGCAGCUCCUUGGAAGGUAAGAUAGACCGAUCAACGUACGAUUAAGUAUAGGGUAAAUUGCAGGCCACACCCGUUGACCAUGUUUUAUUUCCAUGGAUUGUCAAAGUCAAAUGUGGUUUUCACCAUUUGUCUUUUCGCCUGCAAAAUGACGCUUCUGCCCUUGCGCUUCUCUCUUAGCAACUGUUGAAAUGUACGGUUUAGUUUAGCAGGUUUAGUUACGUACACUGUUCCGGUUCAGUUGAAGAUUUUUUGUUCACGUUGACGCGAUCGGUUCCGUUACAAGUGAGAUUAUUCCGAAGUGACAUCAACAUUUAAUGCCCCCAAAAAGUUUAGAUGUGACUAUUGUCACAAUUAAUGCAAAAUCAUCAUUACAUCAAAUAAUAUUAAAAAAAUUAUUAAUAAUAAUUAAAAAAAAUUUGUUGAGAUAAAGAAGAUGAACCCAGGAACAAAGAAUUAUUGCGAACGUACAUUGCUGCUGAAGAAGUGUUGAUCUUGUUUUUGUACCAAGUUUGGAGCAUUGCUCGUGUAAGUAAUGAAGUUCUUUUAAGAAGUUUUUUUUAUGUCAUAUUAGGAUCUUGAUUGUGUUCGAACUCCAUUUUUUUAUCAGAAUAUUUGCAAAAUCUAUAUCUGUUUGUUUAAAAUAGUCAAAUGAUAAUUGGUAUUUAGGUUUAUAAAUGUGUAGUAUCGACAUUCCAUUUGUUUUUUAUAUGUAUAGUAUUUUUCAGUUGCAUUUAAUGUGUGUCUCCUGAAUUUAUGAUGCAGGUGGGUUAUGGAUAUUCCCGUAUUUACCAUGGUCGGUGAGUGGAAAUGCAAAGAAGGAGAAUUGAAAUUUGAACCUGAGGAAGGCAUCUUUGGUCGUUGUGUACGCGUUCAGGAAACCAUGACGUACACGGACUUUGUCCGUACACUCCGAGAGGCUUUCAGUUUGAAGUCCACCGAGAUCAAUCCCAUAAUUAGCUACUGGAUGCCGGGUGAAAUGUCAAUGCUGAUAGAUACUAAACGCCCUCCUGUAUACAUUGACAGUCAGAUGGGUCUCGAGACGUUUUUUUUGGUUCGUGGUGGGUAUCUUUCUCUCAACUUGUUUGUCUCUUUCAAUAAUACAGUGAAGGCGUUCGGGAAUACUGUCUCUAGGUCUCAUGGUGAAGUUUCUGAAAGUGACCGUGUGUUUGAUAGUGCUACAAAUGUUGAUGAAAAUAAUGAGGAUGCAGAGGAGCAAGCCGAUGUUGAAGACGAUACAACAGAAGAGGAUGAAUUGGAGGAGGGCAACGAAGAUGAUGAUGGGUGUGAUGAUUAUCUUGGUGUGGAUGGAUCUAUUGGGGGAAGUACCCUGUAUCCUACCACAGACGGUAGUGAAGGUAUUGGCGAAGAAUACGAUUACAACAAGUGGAACGAUGUAAUAGUAGAAGAAUACGUACAAGGAAAUCUUGAGGAAGACGUCAGUCUCACUCAACAGACUGCUCAACAUCCAGGGAAAUUCAGUCGUUUAUUGGAAACGUGUACGUACACGGGUGUUAGUGUACCUGGCGGAGAUACAGGGGAAUUCAGUCGUCUCUUAGAAACGUGUACGUACACUGGUCUUAGUGUACCUGGCGAAGAAACAAUCUCUCAAUUGGGUUACGGUACACGCUGCGAAGGGCAAAGGGAUUCCAAUCUUAUUUGUAUAGACGAAGUCACCGGGGAUGAAGUGAUCGAAGGUAUUGGAGCUUCCUCAACUGGGACACAAAAUGAUAAUGGGGUAGUUACCGCAGCUGAGGCUUACCAAGUGUAUAAUGAAUUUCCUAAGUUACAUGGUGGCGAGUUGGCGAAUCUCGGUAACGAUGCUGCUCCUGUGUUCGAUGACUUACUCAAUUUUCGAGCUGAUGAGACACAGGUUGAAAUCAGCACCACAGGCGAAACUUUGUUUGUUGGAAGUGUUUUUAAGAAUAGAAAAGUCCUGCAACAAACAAUGUCUCUUCAAGCGAUAAAGCAAUGCUUUUGCUUCAAGCAACCUAAGUCAUGUCCUAAAACAUUGAAGAUGGUGUGCGUUGAUGAGACUUGUCCAUGGCAAUUGACUGCUCGCGUCGUGAAGGAUUCAGAAAGUUUCAAAAUCACUUCGUAUGCUACGACACAUACGUGUAACAUCGACUCUCGGAAGAACUACAAUAAACAUGCUAAUUAUAAGCUCCUCGGAGAAGAUGUGAGGAGCAGAUACAGUUCUACGCAGGGUGGGCCGCGAGCUGUCGACUUACCACAACUGCUCCUAAAUGAUCUGAAUGUGCGUAUUUCAUAUUCUACCGCUUGGAGAGCAAAAGAGGUUGCAGUGGAAAAUGUACGGGGGGAUGAGAUAGCAAAUUACAGGUUUUUGCCGACCUAUCUGUAUCUUCUCCAAUUAGCUAAUCCGGGUACAAUAACACACCUACACUAUACACCAGAAGAUGAUGGUAAGCAGCGCUUCAAGUAUGUCUUUGUCUCUCUUGGCGCUUCUAUCAAAGGUCUGAUAUAUAUGAGGAAGGUAGUUGUGGUAGAUGGAACGCAGCUAGUCGGACCUUACAAAGGAUGUCUCCUUAUUGCAUGUGCCCAAGAUGGGAACUUCCAAAUAUUCCCAAUAGCUUUUGGUGUUGUUGAUGGUGAGACCGAUGCUUCUUGGGCAUGGUUUUUUGAAAAGUUAGCUGAGAUUGUUCCAGACAGUGACGAUUUAAUGAUUGUCUCGGACAGACAUUCAUCUAUAUACAAAGGCCUAAGUGUUGUUUACCCGAGAGUGCAUCAUGGAGCAUGUGCUGUUCACCUUGAGCGAAACCUCUCCACCUAUUAUGGUAAGUUUGGUGUGUCUGCUUUAUUUUUCAGCGCUGCCAAAGCUUAUAGGGUCAGGGAUUUCGAGAAAUAUUUUGAACUGUUAAGGGAAAAGAGUGCUAAAUGCGCAAAAUACCUAGAGGACAUAGGAUUUGAGCAUUGGACAAGAGCUCACUGUAGAGGAGAACGCUACAAUAUCAUGUCUAGCAACAACUCUGAGUCCAUGAAUCAUGUGUUAACAAAAGCAAAAACUUAUCCGAUUGUUUACAUGAUCGAGUUCAUUCGGGAUGUCCUAAUGCGAUGGUUCGCAUCGAGGAGGAAGAAAGUUGCUAGGUGCAAAUCUUCUGUGACACCUGAGGUUGAUGAGAGAUUUCUACAAGAGUUGCCUGCGUCAGGUAAAUACGCUGUGAAGAUGUCUGGACCGUGGAGCUAUCAAGUGACAAGUAAAUCCGGGGAGCAUUUUCAUGUCGUUCUGGACCAGUGUACGUGUACGUGUCUUAGGUACACCAAGUUAAGAAUCCCAUGUGAACACGCUCUAGCAGCUGCAAUCGAGCAUGGAAUUGAUCCGAAGUCUUGUGUCGGAUGGUGGUAUGGCCUUCAAACGUUUUCUGAUUCUUUCCAAGAACCAAUUCUACCUAUCGCGGAUCCGAAAGAUGUUGUCAUCCCACAACAUAUAGUGGAUUUGAUACUCAUUCCUCCAUACAGUAGACGGCCACCAGGAAGACCACUGUCCAAAAGGAUCCCAUCUAGAGGUGAAAACCGGGUAUGUACUAACAUCGUUCAUUCAUCUACUUGUAUUUUGAGUAUUACCAUGCGGAGAUUUGUAACUUCCUGUCUUUGUCACUUCAGAAAAAGAGACAGAAAAGACUUUUACCAAAUCAGUGCUCACGCUGUCGACAAGCAGGUCAUAACAAGAAGACGUGCAAAAAUCCAAUCUAGUUCCGGUGACAAGUUUCUGAGCCGGCCAAUAUAGUGUACGCUUCUGUGUUUUCUCGGUGUACGUAAGUUUAUAUAUAAUCCACCUGUAACUAUGUACGUUGUGUACGUACGUUUAAACUCUACGUUCGUAUAACUAUGAACGUUUUUGUCUGUGUACGUGUUAAAGUUCAUGUAAUAAGGGUACACAGAGGUGGUUGCUCAAUAUUUUGAGUAAUUUGAAAUAAGUUUUUUGAAAAUCUAACUUAUUCCCCCUCUUAAAUGAACGGAGUUGGAGACAUGGUUGGGUAUAUUGUGGUUGUGUUGGUAUUUAAUGGAAAGGACGUAACUGUUGCUGUUUAUUGUCAAAUCAACGUUAUGAUUACCCUAUAUGACGGUUACCAGGCUAUUACCAAAAAUUUGAAUCAAGUGUAGUUGUAACCGCAUUAAUAACUGUAGCCGUUCCAGAUUUCCUCUAUUUAAGUCUCCUCCCUUCCUUAAUUUUAUCCACAAUCCUCAUUCUAAACCCAUUUCUUGUGCCGGCAGUUAUAUCAUUCACAAAAAAAAAUUUAGUCUUUCGAAUCGCUUGUUCUUGCUAUCCGUGAGAUGGAGGGGUUUCAUACGGUCUCAGAAUUGUGUCCUCUGAUCACUGGGUGGCGAAUUUAUGUCUUUGUCGUGAGGGUCUUCAAGAAGGUUAUAUCGCCCAACGUCUUCGAACUCGGCCUUAUCCUGGCAGAUUACGAGGUUAUUUCCGUUAAAUUAUUAUGUGUUUUUCUCGUUCAUUCGCUUAACUUAUAUAUUAAACUCUCUACUAUCAUGUUCUGUAUGUAAAGAAUAACCGUAUUGAGGCCAUCGUUGAUCGUCGCCUUGCUCCGUUUUACGAAGACCGAUUCGUUGAAAAUGAGUGGAAGACGAUCACCACCAGUUCCAGAUUUCGAUUUCACUCCCUUCGACUACAUUUUGGAUAAAUCUGCUUACAAGAACGUUUUAGUCGGUGAGGAGGAAUAACUCUGACGCUUCAUUUAUUACAUUUUUGAAAAUGUUUGUUUAUUAUCUUUGUUUCUCCAUCAUCUAGAUGUCAUUGGAGCGUUGGUUGAUGUUGGCGCAUUGACUACAGACUAUUACGGUCUCAAACUGAGUUUCAAGUUAAAAGAUAGAUAGUAAGUGUUCUUUUCAUUUGUUUUAUUUACAAUGUCACUCUAAACGCUAACAGUCCUUAUUUCUAACGUAGCAAUGAAGUCUUGGAGUGCGAAGCCCGCAAUCAACAGGCGGAGUACUUGGAUGGUUACUUUCAGAGUUUGGGUAAGGGAAAUUUUGUUGUCGCACUCAGCUUUUGGCGUCUAACUGAACUGUCUAACCCGAAGCUUGAGAGCCAUGGUGCUAUUUCAAAGGUGGUUGCCAAUCCGGACAGAGAAGAAGUUGCGGAUAUCUCGAUGGUGGUUUUUUAGCUAGAGGGAAUGAACCAUUAUUCUCCGUUUUAAUAUAAUAUAAGACUACAUUUCAAUUAAGUUUUCUUUCCCAGUUGUUGUUGUUGUUUCCAUAAGAACCAAAUUACAUUUCAGUCGUUGUUGUUUCUUGUUUCCGUUUAAAUUUUAAUCUAAUUUGUUGUUUUAUGUACGUGCCUUGUUUUAUUGUUCAAAUCCUCUCGCAAUGUACGUAUAGUUUCUGGUGUACGCUAUCGUGUACGUAUAUUAGUUUUGGUGCCUUCAACAUCAAAAACUGUUAGAUUUAUACUUAUGUUGUGUACGCAAUUUCCCAAUGUACGAUAAACGAAGUUUAAUGUACUAUAUAGUGUACGUACACGAAGACAUCUAGUAAUACUUAAAGUGGUAAUUCAUUCAAAAGCCAGAAACAUAAAAAAGGACAGGCAGUUUAUAUAAAAGGAAAUUCAUAAGAUAAGAUAAAUAAACUGGAACGAUUCAAAAAACAUAAUUUUUUAAACGAAGCAUACACAUGUGUUGCAAAAUAUGUGUGCAUCCGUCAUACCAAAAGACUCGAGAGUAGAGCCGAGUAGAGUAGCUUAGACCUUAGCAGCUUUGCUUCUAGUAGAAUAUAGCCAUCUCCCUGGCGUACUAGUAGAAAAAACAAACCCUGCAGCCAUGAUGGAACGUGCAUUGCCCUACGCAACUCGGCGGGUGGACAAACCUCCAAGACCUUUCCCAGCGGCGAGCAUUUUCAGUGUGAAGCUGGCUGAUGUGAUACAUCACCAUCUCUGCAACCACGUGGCCAGCUUCAAGGGUGGGUGUCAUUUCCCAGAACUUUUCGCUGAUAGGGAGGAAAUCCAAGUGAUUACCGGUACACGUAAGGAACAAACCGGUUGCGAAGCAAUCAAAGGGAUCAGAUAAAGCGACCGUUGUCAUGACUGAAAGGCCCUGAGCUACUGUCACGAAGUUGCUCGCUUGGCGAACACCUUCAAGGUAAACCGCCGGGAUGGAUCCACGUUCUACAAGCACCUCGAAGUAUGGCCGGAAGGGAGACCCCGGUUGGAGUAACGACGGCCACGUCAUGAAUUCAUCGAUUGCAAGGGUGUUGAUGUCACAACUGUAGUCUGGCUGACGGGGAGGUAGUUGACAAGUAUGCUUAUGGGGUUUGGCAAUUGGAUUCCUAGGUACAACUCGGUUGGAAGGGUUAGCGGAGGUAGGAAAGGCAUUGUUUUUCAAACGAGGAGGUUUAGACGGAUUCGUGUAUUCAACUAAGUGUGUUUGUCAUGAGUUUUAAAGAGGAGAAUAACCAUCAAUGUAAGUGGGUGGGUGACGUGGAUGUAUAUUUAGUGCAUCAUAUUAGUAACUUUUAUUUAUUAGAAUUGAAGAAUGAAUAAACAUGGAACCCAAAUGCAACUUCUCAAAUGUUAUUACUAUAUCUUCUUCUUUUUCUUAAUUAUUAUUAUAACAUGUAACGUAAGCUAAAAUUUUAACAGAAAUAAGUUGAAAAAGUUAUCUAUUUUAAAAAUAAGUUAAAACACUAUUUUGGUAUGGGAGGAGUUGCACCGGCAACUCUUGAACAUUGUUCCUUUAGCAUCGGAGGAAAAAACGGAAUGAAUGGAAUUUUCGGUAUGCAAUUAUCGGCGUCCAAAAAUGCUUUGCAACAAGCCGGACUUAAAUUACCAAACUUUCCAGUAAAAAUGGAUUGAGAAAUCUCUGCAAUGCAUUCAGGAAUAUCCAUCACGGAUGAGAAACAUUUAGUUAUAUCAGGUAAUCCAGGAAUCAGUUGGAACGGAAACGGAAAAGGAAGUUGAGCCGGAAACUGAGGCAAUUGAGCAUUUACAGAAACUAUGAUACAUAGAACCGCUAGAAGUGAAAACACAUUUUUGAUAGACAUAAUGAGAAAUUGAGUAAAAAGUCUUAGUAUUGCAACAAUAUGCUUAAUGCUUUGUUUGUUUUUGAUUGAUGAAUAACAAUAAAAUCCUUGCUUAUUUAUAUGGAUUGAAAUGUGAAACUGUCAUAUUAAUUUUUUUAAUUUAACAUCUUUGAAUACUUUAAUUAGGUAUUUGAUUAGCCGUUUUAUAAAUUUAAUAAAGUUGAAACUCCAUGUGUGAAACAAGUAACAUUAACUAAGAAAUAUUGACUACUAAGAGAAAAUAAAAGUAAAACGGCUUCACAUAAUUAAUCAAUCAUCGGUUUAUAUCUACAAAUUUAAACAAAUAAAUCGAUUUAUAAUAUUUUCUUCGUGAAAUUAUUUGAAUUAAUCUAAAGGUUUGGUUUGUAAAACUUCUAUACAAUGAGUUUCUCCAUGACUUGUUAACACUAAACUUAAAGGUGAAGAGUUUCUGGAUAGCGGGUUAAACGGUUGGAAAUAGCAGUUCGGAUCGGGCAUGAAAAGAAUGAACAUAAUCCAAUAUAUGUGCCAAAUAUCUACAUAAAUUUGGGUUUUGAAAAUUGUUAACUCACGUGAUCAUGACUCGUGUCAAAUUUAUUAGUGAAAUAUCCACACAUAUCAAAUCAAAUUUUGUUAUUUUUAGGGUUUUGUGCAAACAAAAACCCUCUAACUCAUCUAUUUUGCAUCUUUAUUCUCCACCUCCAAAAAAUGCAUAAUUAUCAGAUAAAACCUAAAAUCAUACGCAAUAUAACCCCUUUUCGUCAUUUUUAUCUACAACAAUAUUUUGUAAAAUAUUGAUAUUUAAUAUGUUAAAUCGAAGCCUUCUCGAAAAAAGCUUAACUCGACCUUCAAAAUUUUAAAAAUCUAAUCUAUGGGAGUGUAAAAAAGUUUACAAUAUACGUAUAAGGGUCAUAUUGCGUAUUAUUUUAGACUUCAUAGGAUUAAUAUGUGUUUAUUAGAGAUAUAGGGUAAAAUUAAAAAACUAGAUGAGUUAGAUGGGUGUUUUGCACAAAACCCUAUAUUUUUAAAAAACAAAAUAUAGAAACAUUUCAUAACCCCAUCGGAUAUAUACACAAGUAAAAAAAAAUAGUUCAUAUAUACAAAUGUUUUAUUUAAUAUAUUAAAAUAUUGAACAAAUUCUAAUAAAAAUCAUUUAUAUAUUCACAACAGAAGUAAAAGUUCCCUAUUUUGUUUUAGAAAAAUAUUAAUACGUGAUAUAAUAUUUUCUAAUUUUGUAACUUAAAUAUAUCUCUCUUUUUAUUUCUUAAUUUUAUUUCAUUUCAUUUUUUUCUCAAUUACAGAGUUCAAUUCGUUUACUACAAAAUUCAGUGAGAGGCUUUGUUUGGUGCGUCUUUUUAUAGAUGUUGUAUGUUUUCCUUGUUUUAUUUUUCUUUAUACUCUGAGAAAUCUCGUAUUAUAUAUAAUUAGUAAAGGCAUGGUAUAUAAAAUGUAUAUAAUUGAAAUAUUCUUUUGAAAAAUACCGAUUACUAUUUAGAAUUUUUAUAUCAUCACAACAUUUCUCACACCAGCAUAUUUAGACGAGUCUUAUCUAAUAAAAUUAUACUCUCAAAUUUUGUGUUAUCACAUAUUUUAAAGAUUUAUGAAAACAAUUUGAAGUUCUGUUACAUUAUAAGACUAAAUUCAAUUAUGGAGUCGAUGUUUCAAGAUGUUAUUCAUAAGAAUUGAAGAAUGAAUAAACAUGGAACCCAAAUGAAACUUCUCAAAUGUUAUUAAUAUCUUCUUCUUUUUUUAAUUAUUAUUAUUACAUGUAACGUAAGCUAAAAUUUAAAAAAAAUAAGUUGAAAAAGUUAUCUAUUUUAAAAAUAAGUUAAAACACUAUUUUGGUAUGGGAGGAGUUGCACCGGCAACUCUUGAACAUUGUUCCUUUAGCAUCGAAGGAAAAAACGGAAUUAAUGGAAUUUUCGGUAUGCAAUUAUCGGCGUCCACAAAUGCUUCGCAACAAGCCGGACCUAAAUUACCGAACUUUCGAGUGAAAAUGGAUUGAGAAAUCUCUGCAAUGCAUCCAGGAAUAUCCAUCACGGAUGAGAAACAUUUUGUUAUAUCAGGUAAUACAGGAAUCAGUUGGAACAGAAACGGAAAAGGAAGUUGAGCCGGAAACUGAGGCAAUUGAGCAUUUACAGAAACUAUGAUACAUAGAACCGCUAGAAGUGAAAACACAUUUUUGAUAGACAUAAUGAAAAAUUGAGUAAAAAGUCUUAGUAUAGCAACUAUAUGCUUAAUGCUUUGUUUGUUUUUGAGUGAUGAAUAACAAUAAAAAUUCUUGCUUAUUUAUAUGGAUUGAAAUGUGAAACUGUCAUAUUAAUUAUUUUAAUUUAACAUCUUUGAAUAUUUUAAUUAGGUAUUUGAUUAGCCGUUUUAUAAAUUUAAUAAAGUUGAAACUCCAUGUGUGAAACACGUAACAUUAACUAAGAAAUAUUGACUACAAAGAGAAAAUAAAAGUAAAACGGCUUCACAUAAUUAAUCAAUCAUCGGUUUAUAUUUCUAAAUUUAAACAAAUAAAUCGAUUUAUAAUAUUUUCUUCGUAAAAUUAUUUGAAUCCUAAAGGUUUGGUUUGUAAAACUUCUAUACAAUGAGGGUCUCCAUGACUUGUUAACACUAAAUUUAAACCAGAGAAGUUUUGAGAUAGCGGAUUAACCGGUUGGACAGAGCAGUUGAGAUCAGGCUUGAAAACAUUGAACAUAAUCUAAUAUAUGUGCCAAAUAUUUAUAUCUACAUAUACGUUUUUGCAGCCAUUUUGUCAAAUAAAUCAUGGAGUUGGAAAUAAUUUACAAUGGCUGCCAUUGGCAUUUAUUAUUUAGUGUUACAAAAUUUAAAAAGAUAUUAACCAAACAAUAUCUUUCCUAAUUUAUUUCUAAAAAUCUCUACACAAUCUUUCCGUAUAUCUUCAAAAAUACAAUUCCGUGAAUUUUACACCAUAAAAUAUGCAUAAACCCAAUUUAUAGAAAAUAUUUAUAUUAACAUUUUGCAUAGCAAUAAAAAUACUAAUUUAUAAUAAUGAAAAUAUUCACAUAAAAAAUCAUAUAAACAUACAGAAAAAACUAUAUAUAUCAUUAUUUAAGCCAUUGCUUUAUUUAAAUAAAAAAAAACAUAAAAACUUGAAAUCAUAUACUUUAUAUGAUAAAUUUAAAAUCUAUAUUAGUAGUAGAAAUUUAAAAUCAUUCAAGAAACGGUAUAACACGGGUGAGAUCUUAAAAUUAUUGUAUUUAUAACAAUAAUAAUUUAUUUUCUUUGAUUUUAUAAUACUAAUAUUUAGCUAACGAGAUAAUAUAGACAGGUUUAUAUAGGAUGACAGGUUUUGAUCGAUAUUAAUGAAGAAAGGUAUAUCAAGAAUGAAAUCUUAAAAUUUACAAUUAAAAUACAAUUGUACAAUCUUAAACACAAAAAACCAUACAAUUUUAACAAAACGAAUAUAACUUGAAAUUUAAAUUUUUUAGCUAUAAAAAAUAGACUCACGGUAUACUGCGGAUAAAAUAUUCAAAAUUUUAAAAUCCACGAUACAUCGUUACUUAAAAAAUAUGUGUUUUCGUACCUAUACUUCAAAAAUUGAAACCUAAACAAUAGUAAUCAUAUACUAAAUAAUACAGAGAUUGAUAUCUACAUUUGAAAAUACAAAUUAAUAUAUAUCUUCAGUUAGUCUUUUUAAAAAAUAACAUUAUAUUUUUGUUAAAAAUAUAGCCUCGCGGUGUACCGCGGGUUAAACUCUAAUAAAGUUGAUUUUUCAAAAUUGUUAACUCACAUGAUCAUGAGACGUGCCAAAUUUAUGAUUGUUACACAUAUCAAAUCAAAUUUUGUUAUAAAACCCUCUAACUUAUCUAUUUUUGCAUCUUUAUUAUCGACCUCCAACAAAUGCAUAAUAAUCCAAUGAAUUCUAAAAUAAUACUCACUGUAACCCUUUUUGUUCAUUUUUUGCUACCAAAACAUUUUGUAAAUGCAUUACAUUAUGCGUCGAGAAUAUAUCAUAUAUAUUGGGAAUGCAUUACAUUAUGCGUCAUGAUUAUGAUUUUGAGAACGAGAGUAGGAAAAAAUGGGACAUGGAACGGGAACUACGCCGACUCCUAAAUAUUUUUAUUUCACUCAAGCGGGUUUAAUGAUUUUUCGACUGUUUUAAUCCAAUUUGAUAGCUCACAAGUUUAAUAGAAAUUUAACGAGGACCAAUCCGGUUGAGUUGGAACACGGUCCGACCGCUGGAUCAUUCCUAAUUUUAAUAAAAAUGAACCAUUAUUAUUUGAACUAGAUUUUAACCCGCGAUACACCGGGAACAAUUUGUUUUUUAAAGUUAUUAUAUAUAAAAGUUUACAAAUUGUAUUUAUCUAUAAAAUAUUUUAUUUUAUAGUUUACAAAUGUUAUUAAGUAACGUCCUGCCAAACCCGUCCCGUAAAAAAAACAUUUAUUUUAUUAACGUUGAUCUUAUUUAUGAUAUGUUUAUAAAUCAUUGUCUAUAGAUUUUGUAAUUUUGUAGUAAUUAAAUGCUAUCAAAUUAUAUCUCUGCGCUUUGAUGAUUAUAAUUGAAUUGUUAUAGUCAUGGAGAAAAGCAAUAUCAAAAAUGAUAAUUUUGUAGUAAUUAAAUGAUACUCCCUCUGUUUCUAAAUAUUUGUAGUUUAAGGUUUUUACACACAAAUUAAGAAAACAUACAAAUUUCAUUUAAUUUAUCUAUUUCCUAUAAAUGCAUCAUUAAUUACAACUAAUCCAACCAAUAAAAAAAUAUGAGAUAAAAUAUAAUUGAUUAAAAACUAUUAAAUACAUUUAAUUUUUGUAUAGAAAAGUGAAAAUAACACUUAUAUUGAAAAAAAUAAAAAACCUUUAAACUACACUUAAUUAGAAACAUAGGGAGUAUUAAAUAUUUUGGAAGUUUUAUUUUAGUAAAUAAUCGUGUAGUUAAUGUGGAGAGAUUUUGGGAAGAUUGUUAAAUGUCAAAUAUUUAAUUCGAAGAUUUUCUUUCUAAUUAUCAAAAACAAACAUUAAAUUUCAAUGGCAGCCAUUGUAAAUAAAUCUCGAUUACAGGAUUUAUUUCACAAAAUGACUGCAAAAAUGUAUAUAUAGUAAUGCUAGUAAACCAGAAUGAAACCAAACCAAAAACAAAACUAAAUAUCCAACUGGUAUGAAUUCAUGUUAUAAAUAUAUAUCAAAUAAUUUAUUUAUAACCUACGAUGUUAUAAACAGGGGCGGACCCACAUUAUAGUUUGUAGGGGCAGUUACCACCAGUAAUAUAUAACUAAUUAAAGUUUUUAGCUUAAACAAUAUAGUUAAAGUAGCAAAAUGGUAGAGAUUGCCUCCACUAAGUGCUGAAGAUAGCAGGUUCGAUUCCCAUUUAUUUACAUUUUGCACCCACUUAAUUUCUUGGCGGAUAUUUUAACUUUUAAACUCAUGUAACAUCUUCCGGAAUAAAAUUCUUGAUUCUACUAUUUUCCAACUAAUCUACACACAAAGUCAAUUACAUUAAUCACCUCGUGCUAUAGCAAGGUUUAGUACCUAGAUAAAAGUUAAAAAUGUAAAAUUAGAAACGAAGAUGUAAAUAAGUAAUAUCUAAGGUAACAAAUUUAGAUAUUUGGAAGUUUUCUGUUUUUGGUUUUAUAUACAAACAAGAUAUACGUGCUAACGUAAUGAACAAUCAACUAGAAUUAUCCCUAACUGGGAGAAGUUUAAUACUUUCUUGUGUACUACCAAUUUUUUUUUCCUUUUUUUUUUUGAAAUUCAGGAGGUUCUGGGUCGAAGCUCGUAAUCUCCCCAGGCCCGAAACCACAUCAUGUAUUAUUAGUUUCGUCCCAAGCAUCACUCGAACCGGCGACCUCUAAGCUUCGCCUAGGGUCUUUACCAAUUGAGUUAACAACACUUGGUCGUGUACCACCAAUUACUCUCUUGUUCCCUUAAGAACCGUAUCAAAACAAUGGAACGCUCUCUUCAACGACAAGACGUUCAUCAACAACCACAAGACAACGUAUCGAUUCAUCUUAACAACCAAAUUCAAGAUUUAUUCGGUAAGCAUUCAUCCGAAGAUAGAAAUAUAUGAAUUAACCUUAGAUAUUCCUGGUUUAGAAUCCCAGAUACCUAAAAACAUGGUAGAUUGAUUGCUACGUUGCAUGGAGAAAGGAGCUGUGGUUUGGAACCCAUGCUUGAGACAGAGUGGAUAGAUCGAGCAAGAUUUACACCAAACUCAAUGGAAUCCUAUGGCAUAGGAUACAACAAUAAGGGGAGUUACAAGAUCAUUGCUGGUUGUCGUCUGAAGGAACAUCCCACAAAGACCUUGUGGACAAUGCAUGACUUUGCCUCCAAUGCUUGGAAAUACCUCAAGUCAGUAUCUGGUAGUGUAAUAGUCAGGAAGGAAAAACGGCUGAAUUGAAGUACUCACCACAAGUUGUGUAUUAUUUUUGAUGACAAGACUGAUCCCAUGUACACCUGCCCUAUAUAAAUUCAAUUCCUCCAGGGAAUUCUUUUUCAGAUUUUGUCAUCUACCAUGUGGAACGAUAGACUAUCGUAAGGAUGCUCUUGUACUCAGGGUUUAUGAGGGGGAUCAAUUUUCAUUGUUAAAUCAAUGCCAUGCAACAAAGAAGAUUGAGGUCUGGGUGAGCAAGUACAAGAUUAAUAAUAAUUGGGUUGCCUGAAUUUUUAACCCUAUACUAGUUGGAGUCUCAACUUUCCACCAUAAACUUUUAACCACUUGAAAAACCAGCAUAAACAAUUUUAAUCUCGAUAAAACUACAUGUACUUUCGGAUUUGUUCUUAAAACUACGUCUCCAAUUGAACAGACCAGUUAACCGAUAAUUAUACAUCCGGUUUGACUUACCCAUAAUUUAACCGAAAUUAAUCCGAUUUUGACUCUAUUUUAGCCUAAUUUUGACCCAAACAAAAUGUAAAUAAAUUAUCUUAUUAAGAAGUAAAAUUAUUUUUAUUAAUUUUUAUUUGUGAUAAACAAUUAAAAAUAUUAAAUUAUAACUUAAUUUUAGCAAAAAUUAUUAUGACAAAAUAUACCCCAAAUUAUAUUUUGAGCUACAUUUUGUUAUAAAAUUUUGAUAAUAUACAAACAUAUACAUUUUCCUUUUGGCAAUCAUUUAUAUUUUUUAUAAAUAUAAAGCUAUGUCUUUAUUUUAAACAAAAUAUUCAUUUUCUUGAAAUCAUAAUAUUUGACCUUUGAACUUUAUAUAUGUAAUGAAAUUCAAAAUAUAUGCCAAAUUUAUUUUUAUAUAUAUCCGUAAACACCAUAAUCAAAGUAUAUAUUAUGGUAUUUAUAAAUUCAUUUUUCUUUAUAGAUUCAGUUUUCUUUUUAUAUAUUUCAAGAUGAGUUAUAUAUGUAUAUAUAUAUAUAUAUAUAUUUAUAUAUGAUUAUGGUGUUUUAAAAAAGAAAAUGACCUUUGAAUUAUUAAAUUUAGAGUAUAUACCAUAUACAUUUAUAUAUAUAUAUAUAACACCAUUGUAUUUAUAAAAGGAAUUUAUUGUCUAUUUUGUUAUAUUGUUUUGCGGUAUAUUUUGUUUAUUACCAAAAUAUAUACUAAAAUUUUAUUAUAUAAUUUUGUGUGGUAUUUUUUUAUUUUUUUAUUUUGGUAAAAUUAAUUUAUUUUUUUUAAGUUUUUAUCAAAAAUAAAUAAAAAGUAUUUUUCUUCUAGAGAAUAUAUUUUUUGAGUCUAAAUUGGGUUAAAAUAGAGUCGAAAUCGAAUAAGUUCGGUUAAAUUUUGGUUAAGUCAAACCGGAUAUAUAAUUUUUGGUUAACUGGUCGGUUCAAUUGGAGGUGUAGUUUUAAAAACAAAUCUGAAAGUACAUGUAGUUUUAUCGAGAUUAAAAUUGUUUAUGGUGGUUUUUCAAGUGGCUAAAAGUUUAGGGUGGAAAGUUGAGACUGUCACCUAAAGUUCAUGAAACUGUCAAAUCCUUACUUGCCGGAUUUAGUAGACCGAAAAUACUCUAAGCCAAGUUACUUCAUCGAAGAUAAAAGACCCGUAGUGUGCUCUUGCGAUGAAACUGGUCGGGCUUGGAUCUAUGUUUUCAGGGAAAAUAAGCUGACCAGUAAAACUUAGAUAGAUAAUGUGGUUGAUCCUUGACCUUCGCAUUCUACAUUUAUUCCCAAUUUGGUACAUGUUCCUCAAGGUUAAAGAGAAGAACUAGCAGAGUUAAAACUUUAAUUUUCUUACAUUUGGGCUUCUUGUUUAGUUGUUGAGGGAGCUAAGUUUGAUUUGGAUUUUGCAUUUUGGUGCUUUAUUCACAAACUAUCCUCUUUGUUGGAACUAGAGAUUGUUUUUGGUAAUUUUUGUUUUUUUUGCAACAUAAAUUAUUUAUUGUUUCUAGAACAAACUAGAGAGAAUUGCAUUCACUCUCGUGGUCUUGGCUUUGUUCCGAUAAUAAAAAUAUGUUAGACUUCACUUGUUGUUGGGUCAAAUAUGACUAAGCUUUGGUGAUAGUUUUAAUUUACCUAGCUUGUGUACAGAAUUUAAAUACAUGAUGGUAUGAAGAUCAAUAAGUAGCAAUAAAUGGAAAUUUUCUCUUUUUCCUAGUGAAUAAAUGUAAGAGUUCCAUAUUUUAUACUAGUUAAUACUUACUAAAAUGUAAAAUUUACAAAUUUCACGGAUGUUUUAUAUGUAUGUAAAUUUUUGUGUUGAUAAAUGACGAUAUACUAUAUAUAAAUAUAUGCCCAAUGGUUGACCAAGGGUUUAUUAAUGCUUCUACACCAAGAGGUCGGGGUUCGAGUCUCAGCUACUGCGAUUUAUUAGCAGAUUUGCAGAUUAAUGGAGGCAAGUGUGCAAAAGAUCUACAACGAUGUACAAUUAUAGCCGUUCACCUAGGAUUCUACGCAGAGAAGAUAUUGAAGGUGUCCAUCAAGCGCAUGGAGAAGGAGAAUGAUGUGUCGUCUGCCAUAGAUCUAAUAAGGGUCGGAAGGAAUUAUCCGUGGUAGAAUCGUCUAUGUAACAAUUCUCAUAAUUUGUAAUAAAUAAUAAAUCUAGACGGUAAAAAAAACCAGAAAAAAAAGACGGGAGAAAGAAAACAUUUGUCUGUGUGCAAUAUGAAAUGUAUUUGAACAUUUCCCUCUUUUAACUUGGUAUAUACAUAUUGAAAACUCGGUACUCUUGUAGCCUUGCCAUUUUCAAAUAUAAUAGUUGCUUCUGACUCAGAAGUUCUGAGUAAUCUGGACAAGUAGGGAAGAAGAAACAAGCAGAAGUUACCAUGCCAUGGAGAGGAAUUGAGCUUCAAAAGGUUAACCAAGAGCCAUGAACGAUUAAGUGUUUUAUUGUAAAAAGAUGAAAAAUUAGUUCUUAUCUUUAAAACAUGCAAAAUUUAGCUUGUCAUUCCAUUGUAUUCCUCCAAACACAAUUACAUAGCCUUUAGACGAUCAAUUAGAGCCUUGUGCAUCAUAUGGUCCUCAUUAGGAACAACAUAAAAAAACUAAACUAAAUAAUUAAAUCGAACCAAAAUUCAUCAAUUUAAAACUGAAUUGAGUAAACUGGUUUAAGAAAAACGGCAUUUUUGAUUGAUCAAGAGAGUUGAUUUAGGAUUUAGACUACAUGAUCUCGAUGUAAAGGGUGCAAACUAAACAAAAUGAUGUCAGAAUCUAGCAAAAUUUUACAUGGUGAUUUGUGGCAAAAAUCUCGCGAAUUAGUUAAAUAUUUAAAUCGUAACAGAGAAAUCUUCCUAACAAAUUGAUUAAUAUUUUUGUCUAGUUGAAUAACCUCCAAAAGGAAAAAUACCGUUUGAGAUAGUUUAAUUUAGUUUCAACGAAUACAUAUUAGAUCUUAGACAAAACGAUCUACCGGAUCAGGUAAUUUAAGUUGGUUAAAAUUGUCCAAAAAUUCUCUAAUGCCAGACUUGAUCUAGUCCCAAUUAGUAAGAAAAUGAGUACUGAAUAUAAAAAAACAAAAACCUCAUCUGGUGAUAGAAAUCGAGUGUAACAUCAUAUUUUUUCUUACCCAUUUCAUCAAAAUUCCACAUAAAACAGGUUUGCCAUUUACUUAUUACACCAAAACAAAAAACUGGUUGAGAGUAGAAACAAACUUGACUUGGGACGAAAAUACUCUUAAAAGUCAAAACACAAAGAUUCGAAACCAAAACAAACCAAACCAAACCAAACUGAUAAAAUCCUAACUAAAAAAAAGCAUUUACUAAACAUUUUAAAAUAAAUAAAAUUUCCCGGAACUAAAAAUGGAGGGAAAUACGACGUUACAAUACCAACAACAAUAAAAUGACGAAUUUACCCCUAAACACAAUUAUAUCUCCAUUAUUUUCUCGAUUCGCGCAUGUUUCUCUCAAGUAAAUAAAAUAAAAAUCCCAACAACAAAACAUUAAAAACCCUUUCUCUCUUCCCACUUUCACAUCCAUAGCUAAACCCUUGAAGAAGAUUGUUUAGUGUGUUCUCGUCUCUUCGUUUAUUUCUUCUCCACCGAUCCAACAAUGCUACUCUCCGGUCAAUCUCCGACUCUGAUUCGUUAAUCUCCCUCCGUCUCUCUCGUCUGAUUCCUUCCGUAUCUCUCUCUGAUUUUGGCCAGAGCACGCUUGAUAAUCAAAAUUUCUCCGGUACGGUUAUGUAAUCCGUUUCCUGAUUAGGGUUUUGAAUUUCGUCUUCGUAUUGUUUCUCGAUCUGUUAUGAUCGUACGUUUUUCGUUUAUUGUUCGUCAGUUAUUUUUUAAUUUUGAUUUUGAUUCGUUGUGAAAUUUUGACUGUAGGGGUCUUUAUAUGACUGAGAUUUGAGAACAUUGUGUAGAAAAGUAAAGAAAUGUUAGAAACUAACGAGCAAAAGGGUUUUGAUUUAAACGUGUGUGCUUCAAUUGAAGAUUUCAGUGAGUCUGACAUUAAGGCUGAGGGUGAAACUGAUAGUUUGGUUGAUGGUAAUGUGGAGAAUGUGAUUGAGAUUAAGGAUAAGAAAAAAGUGAUUGAGCGUGAGAUUCUCAUUACGCGUAGGGUUCUUCGCUCAGGCUCUGUGGCAAGGGAUUUAGUAAACAGUGAUAAACAUUGUAAGGCUGUGAAAAGGAAAGGAAAUGUUGUUAGUGGUGGAAGUUCUGUUGAUGAGGUGAAAGAAGAAGUGAAACAGGAGUGUGUUAAGUCUUUGGUACCUGAGGAGAUUCGUGGAGAUGAUUUUCGAAGUGAAGUGAAAGUGGAAUCUAAGGAUGAUAGAUCAGAUGAUGGAAAAGAAGAGAAAGUUCAACGUAAAAGAGGAAGGCCUCGAAAGUUUGGGAUGAGCAGUCAAUCUGAUGAUAAUGGGUUAAUCUCAAAUUGUAAACUUCGGACAUCUUUAGGUAAGAAGAAAGAACUGGUAGGCGAUGAUAAUGUUGAGAAACUUGUUGGUGGAAGCUGCUUUAACAAGGAGAAAGCAGAAGUAAAACUUGAGCAUGGGGAAUAUGCUGAAGAUAAAGAGAUUCUUGGACUUGAUUUUAGGAGUCAGGUUAAGGUUGAAAUCAAGGAUGAUGAAUGUGGGAUUGUUGAGCUACAUGAUGAAGAGUUGCAAGUUAAACGUAAACGGGGAAGGCCUAGAAAGGUGCAGAUCAGCAGUCAAUCUGAUGAGAGUCGCCCUAACACAAACUGUAAACUUGCGAGAACUCCAGAACUAAGUAGCCAGUCGAGUGUUGACAGAAUUAGUUUGAGUCGUCUGCGUGGUAGACCCCCAAAGACCAAGGAGACCUCGGUUAGCCUUUACAUUGAAAAAGGACCUGAGUCUAAUGGAAGGAGGAUGGUACGUAAGCGUGGAAGACCUCCAACACCACAGAAAAAGAGGAAAUCGGGGAUGACAGAUGAAUCAGAUUGGAAAGCAAAGAAGAGACUGAAACUUUGUGAGAGUCCGUUAGAGUCACGGCACAACAAUCCUUUAAUUGAUGACGAAAGGAUGAUUGGCGAACAACGGAGUAAGCAAACUGAAGCUGGAGGACAUUCGAGAUCAAAGUCUAAGAAAAUGCUGAGUGACAGAAUACUGCAGUUACUUCUAACUGCUGGUUGGACUGUUGAAUAUAGGCCUCGAAAUGGGAGAGCUUAUCAAGAUGCUGUGUAUCUUAAUCCAGAGGGAAAGACUCACUGGUCAGUGACUAAGGCUUAUCAAGUUUAUAAAAAACAAUUGGAAAGCAACCCGAAUGAUCAAAAGAACUCUACCACUGGUUCUGGUUUUGGCUUGCUACCAGAAGAAGACCUUCAUCUAUUAGAGAGAACAAUUCAGAAAAAAAGGAGCGAUACAGGUAAGCAAAGGUCAAAAUUGAAGGACAGAGAUACUAAUGACAUCUUGGUUUCAACAAAGGGAACAGGAAAAAUAAAGAGGGAAGAAAAACAUAGUAGAAAGCGUUGUACUCCGUCAGCUCGUAGUUCUUUGAAAGAUGUGGAUUCCAAGGAGGAUGGGUACAUAUUAUUUGAAGGGAAACGCACCAUGCUGGGUUGGAUGAUUGAUUCAACCAUUGUGCCACUUAACGGAAAAGUUCAGUGCAUGGACUGCAAGAAGACAGACAUACUUCUAGAAGGAAUUAUCACAAAAGAGGGUAUUCGAUGCAACUGCUGUGAUGAAGUGUUCUCUGUUCUCGAUUUCGAGGUUCAUGCUGGCGGGAAUCGCAACCAGCCAUUCAAAAGUCUGUAUUUAGAGGGUGGGAAUUCUCUCUUGCAGUGCCUCCAUGAGUCUAUGAAUAAACAAAGUGAAUCACAACUUAAAGGGUACCAUUUUGUGGACUUUGGUUCGGGGGAUCCAAAUGAUGACACAUGUGGUAUUUGUGGGGAUGGGGGAGAUCUUAUCUGCUGUGAUGGGUGCCCAUCAACAUUCCAUCAGAGCUGCUUGGACAUAAAAGUAAGUUGCUCCUUACGUUGUGAAAAUUUUAUGUUAAAGUGGGCUUUUCUGUUUCUUCUAGACUUAAUUUCUCUUCAAUCUGCAGAAAUUCCCUUCUGGUGCCUGGUAUUGUUACAACUGCUCAUGCAAAUUUUGCGAGAAAGAUGAGGCUGCUAAACAUGAGACUUCAACUCUACCCUCCUUAUCGAGUUGCCGCCUAUGUGAAGAGAAAUGUAUGAACUAUACACUAAAGCCAUCUUAUCUGUAAUUGCAUUUAUAUGUAUAUGCUCUGUUAAACUUCUUCAAACGGACUUCUAGGCUCUAAGCAUUACCCUCACACUCUUGCAGAUCACCAAGCAUGCAUCAACCAAGAUGGCACGGUGCCUGGUGAAAGGAGUACUGAUUCAUUUUGUGGAAAGUAUUGUCAAGAGGUAGCCUUCCUUUUUCUUUUUUACCUUUUAUCCUGGCGCUUUAUUACUUGAAACGCUGAGUAUUUCAUUUGUUUCUUCCCUUCUUUUUCUUUAAUUUAUAGUUAUUCGAGGAACUUCAGUUAUUCAUUGGAGUAAAACACCCACUGCCUGAGGGAUUUUCAUGGUCAUUCCUUCGCCGCUUUGAGCUCCCUAGUGAGGUUGCCGAUUGUGACAUAUCUGAGAAGAUUGCAUAUAAUGCCAAAAUGGCUGUUGCAUUUUCUGUUAUGGAUGAGUGCUUUUCACCUUUGGUUGAUCACAGGAGUGGAGUCAACCUGCUUCAAAACAUUGUUUAUAAUUUUGGGUAAGCUCAUUCCCAAAACCUGUCCUUAUAUGCUUCUGUUUUGUUCAAUUGGUUUAUUGGCAAGUGUUUUAUGGAUAUGUAAACAGUCCGUAUGUUACUACUUACUAGAUUAUGUUUAAACUUUUUCCUAUUUUUUUGUAGGUCGAACUUCCAUCGGCUAGAUUUCAGCAGUUUUCUCACUGCUGUUUUGGAGAGGGGUGAUGAAAUCAUUGCUGUGGCGUCUAUUAGGUAUGCCUUUGGUACCAUGAAAAUGAGAACAAGGGGUAAUAAGUUUCUAGACUUAUCAUACUAGACUUAAAAGCAUUACUUAGAUGUGACAUUACACUGUUCGUAUCAUACUAGUGGACUAGUGGGGCAAACAAGAUUAGAAAACCACUUUGUACCCCUUUCAUUAUACUAUUUCUUUUGUUAAGGUACAGAGAUCUUAAGUUUGAUAGAACACACUACAUUUAGAUGUUAGCAGUUUAUGUCGUACUAAGAUAAAGAAAUUCCCUAAGUAUAUGCCUCUACAUGGUCUCAGGUGUUUGAUUGAAACUCUGUUGCCGGGUUCUCGAUAAAUUGAGAAUACUAACUGUGUAUAGAAAUUAGCUUUUCUUCCCAUAGGACUGAUAUAUCUCUUACUCAGGAUACACGGCAAUCAACUGGCAGAAAUGCCGUUUAUCGGAACCCGCUAUAUGUACAGGCGUCAAGGGAUGUGUCGUCGACUAAUGGAUGGCAUUGAAUCUGUAGGCCCUCCUCCACUUCUUGUCAUAUCCUAAAUUCCUUUUUCUGUUAGUUUGGUGGUUAUUUACAUUAAAGUUCGUCGCUUAUUUCUCUCAAAUGUUUCUUGCUAUAUCUGAAGUUUUAUUAGAUGUCUGGCAAUUCUGCUGCUAUCCUGCUUGUUUUGGCGACGGGCCAUUCUGCUUUUUCUCAGGUUCUUUCAGGCAUUAAGAAAGAAAUAUGGAAAUAGCUUUGCAUUUCCAUGUCUGAUAUAUGCUAAAUGACAAAAUGAUUGCUAGAUCACACUGAACUAAAAACAUGGAUUUGUGUAGUCAUUUGAUUUCAAAUAUGUAUAAGUGACUUUAUAGGAUAGUUGAUGCGAACUAGUCAAGCUUCUUAGUAUGCCAUAUGUCUUGAUCUGCUGUGUACUAUCUCAGUCUUCUGUUUUGUUUAGUUUAGACUUCAUUCUGUGUACGAUUUCUGAAGAUCCAUAUUACAAAUGUGCUUUAUCAUCAGGCGCUUGGUUCUCUCAAAGUAGACAAGUUAGUCAUACCAGCAGUGCCAGAACUGAUUGAUACAUGGACUUCAGGCUUUGGCUUCGCACCUGUCAAUGAUUCUGAGAAAAAAACAAUUAAGAAUCUGAACUUGUUGGUGUUCCCUGGCGUAGACAUGUUGGGGAAAUCAUUGGUGAAGGAGAAGAUCACUGACUCAGUUGUUUCAUCUCCCAAUGGUACUAACUCAGUUUCUCUUGGCAUCUGAACUUUUUAAAAUGUUCAUGUUAUGUGUACAUGCAUACUUGCAUCUAUUGACUGACUUAAAUCUACUCCAGGUUUAGUGCUGUUGGCACCUGAGAUGACUUUGCCUGUAGAUGUCGAGGAAAAUAAACCUGAGGAGUCUAAAGACAGUGCACACGAGCGAAAUUGUGCAACUGCUGGUGUUGAAUCCCCUUCUAACCCAGUUGAUAGCUGCUUGAAGUUAACUUAUGUAGAAGAGGGGGAUAAUGACAGAGAAUCCAAUCUCAAGUUACUUGACGGGUCCGUGGAAGAGAAAGAAGACACUAAGAAAUUGACAGAUAUAGACAUCAAUUCUCUUCCUGAUGAAGUUGAUGAUUCCCAUGCGGAUCAAAGUGAUACAAAAGAGCAGGAAAUUGAUGAUAAAGAAGAUAAGACACCGUUAUCUGAUGAUGGCUGUGAAGGUAAAGCUGAGGGUACCAAGGAGUCAAAUCAACAACCGGAUAGUAACAAAGUAGAUAACUCUCAGCCACUUGGUAAUGGUGGUACAGGGGAAGAGCUUGGCAACAGAACCUUAGCGCUAAAGAGAGAAGUGACUCCCACAUUGCGAGCAUCGCCCCGACUGAUUCAAAGAUCGUGGAGAACAUCACGGGUGAACCAGAAGUUCACAGGUACUACUAACGCCGUACUGCUUGACUCUCCACACCGGUGUGUCUGAGGCUCAUUGCAUAGACAGAGCUUUUGUGGUUUUGUGCAUAUGACCAGUCUAACACAUUUUGUCUAAAGAUGGAGCAGCCCUUUGCUAUUUCGGGGUGACAACCGGAAAGGCGCAGUUGAAAGAAAAAGUAGUUAGAAUUCUAAUUUCAGUACUUUAGUAAUUUCAUUAGUAACACAUCGAGCCAGAGGUCAGAAACCUUGCAGUGGCUCAAUGCUUAUUAGACUUAAUUGUGUAGUAAACAAUUUCUUUCAGCUGUAUUUGAGCUGCUUCAUAAUAUCAUCUAAUGUUAAAACAUCUUCUGGCUUAAUAUUCAAUUAACUUAUUAUUAGAUACCAUAAAACCAACAAUUAGCAAACGAAGAUAACUUUAAUAGUUUAAUCACCGCAUUUAAUACCUCCAGGACCACCAUAAGACAUAGCAAUACCAACCUGAUGAUCAACAUAUCCUACUAAAUUAACAUCAUAGCAUACGUUGCUGUCCACCAAAGGCUCUGUCAUAGGGUAAUUAAAUCCGGCAUGUUCAUAGUCCGGUUGGAUUAUGGUAAGAUGGUCAAGAUAACCAGACCAUAGACGGUCAUCUUUGUUUGGAAGACGACCAUUACCCAUCGGUGGGCUUGGAGUUCUUGGAUCACCUGAAACCAUUCCUCCAAAUCCAACGAAAUCAGCACCAUCUCCUAGAAGAUUAAACAACUCCUUUGGCCAAUAUCCCAAAUGAUUUUUAGUAUCAUCAUCUGGAUUUGUUUGUGUAAGCCACCAGUUUUUUGUUUCCUUGUCCUUUUACAUGAAUUAGCAGUUGCAAAAAUAAUUACAAAGUAUUCGUCUAAUAGUAUUGUCAAGCAUAAUUCAUUGUUUUCAAUUGUUGAUUCCAAAUUAUGCUCUUAGUCUAUGCUCUAUCUUCAUAUGUAUAAGAAAAAAACUUAUGAUUUGGUAUAAGAAAUUCUGUACCUGAUGUAUAGUAAGCCAGAGAAGAUAAUCAAACUUGAGAGGUACACUUAUUGGACCAUUUUUGGCUACUUGAACAAAUCCUGGACAUUUUACAUUAAAACAGCCUGUUCCAUGUUUCCCCUAAAAUUAUAUAACAUGAAAACAUCAAAAUUACAUAAGAUAUGCACUUGAUUAGGAGAAAUAAUUCAUAAAAAUAAAUCAUAACUGGUUUUACCAGCCAUGUCCCAUACGACCAUGGUCGUUUGUCGCCAAAUAGUUGUUCAUUGAUCUGUAAAUGAUAGUAAGAAAUUUAUGAUUUACCACAAAGAUUUAAUUAGGAAAACAAUAUAGAAGAUGAAAAUAUGUAUUACCAUCCAUCCAACUUGAAUAGAAUUGGCAUCACCACUGAAUGCUCUGGCUACAUAAGCUUGAGCACUUGUACUUUGAUUUUUAUCAAUUAUCAAGUUAUAAGUCCUUAGCCCUGCUUCUACGCCUCUGUAAUUAUGUUUUUCUACUACUUUCAUUCCCGCAAUCUGUAAAUGUGUCAAUUCAAGUUCAACUAACAUAUAUGCAAAUUACUUUUUACAUGUGUAAAUGUUUUUGCUCUGUCUUAAUAUAUAAAUUUCAAUGCAUUUUGCUAAUAUUCAACCAUGUGAAAAUUUUCUUAUGAUAGGUGUUUCAUAUUUAACAUAUACGAUUUCAUUUAAUGCUGAAUUUAAUAAAUUUUUGUAGUUAUCUAUGUUCAUUCUUACCAUUUUAAAAAUAAUGAGCAAAUUUUGAGAGUUAACGAAUCAGUUUAAGUUUUGAAACAGAAAAUUUACAAUUUAAACUUUUUAAAGUAUGAAAGAGAUUUUUAAAAUUAAUAAUAUAUAUUGUAUUUUAUUUUUGGGUUUUUGCAAAUCAUACAAAUGCCAAAGUAUGCAAGAGAUUUUCAAAAUUAAUAAUUUCUAUUUUAUUUAAUGUAAUAUUAAUAUAUCACAAUGAAAAAUAUAGAAUAGUAUACUUACAUGGGUACCCGGAUAUUUAGCUGUAAGAACGGUAAAAUUAUUGAUGGGGUAUUCUUGAUAUUGUAUGACAUGUUUUUCCUUGGCUCUUAAAAUAGGAACGGUUCCAUUUGGACAUUCUAUUUUAUUGUUGUGUCUUCUUUCUGCAAAUUUAUUCUCUGAUUGAGAAUCCCAUCCUGUUGGUUUCAUCUAAUAGGAAAAUUAAAAAAAAAAAAAAAAACACAUGUAAGUGUUAAAGUAUAAUGUUCACUUAACAUACUAUCUUAAUUGACGUACGGUAUAUGAUGCCAGUUUUUAUUUCUGGAUAUGUUUAUCUAUUGAAAUAUAGAAUGGUUAACAAGAAUAAUGAACAUUUUGACCGACUCUUAAAAAAAUCAAAACAUGUCUUAGAGAUUUGUUGAAAAAGACUUUCCAACAAACACAACGAUCGCAAAAGACUUCCCAAUAAUAAAGGAAGACAAAAUUCCAUAUAGAUAUAUUUCAUGUCUUUUAAUCAAAAAAUAGAUUAAAGAAAAAUGCAAAACAAGAUACCCGAAUAUUAUGAUGUUUGAGCAAUGGAUGACUAAGAGAUGGUUGCUUAUAAAUAUCCAUGCAGUCGUAAAUAACAUUUUUACCCAACUACAAGAUGAAAAAAAAUCACAUAAAGUAAAAAUAACAACACUAAAGAAGAUCACAGUAUUGUAUUUAUGUAUUUCACUUUACCUUGAUGGAUUUCAUAUGUAUAGUAGAUUCAACAGAUAACACUGAAAGGAUAAACACAACAAAACUCACAAAGAUAUCCAUUGAAUCACAAUGUAAUAUCUUCCAAUUUGUUUAAAUUUUUUAAUGUUUCAUCAGUAGUGAUAUUAUGUUACGAUAUAAAUAAAGAUGUAAAAUGUUGAAUGCAUUAAAAUGCAAUUAAUGUUUAUAUAAUUAAUUAUAAAGCUUUUAUCUUUCAACCUAUUAUUAAUGAAUAUCUGGGAGUAUUUAAGAGAUUUCUCUUGCCAUUUGGCAAUAGUUCUUUUUUUAUCAAUAUAAAAGUCAUGAGGCAAAAUCUUAGCUUAGUAGAUGCAAGCAAAAAAUCAUAAAUAUAAAGUUACCCUUAAAUGUAUCAUAAUUUUAUGCAUCCAAAAAUUAAUAGUAUCUCAUACCAAUAAUAAUGUGCCACAAUAACUAACUUUAUUUUGAAAUAGCCAAAAUAACUUUGCUUUAGAAAACUGAAAUAAUUAAAAAAAAAACAAAGAAUGUUAUGAAUAAUAGAUGGAUGCCCAUUAUAAGGCUCAUCAUCUAGAUGUCUCUAGGGUUUUACCCUUCUCUUGUACUCCUAUAUAAAGGAUGCUUUAUUCAAUGGAAUAACACACUCAUUUCUUUUAUCUCUUUCUCUGGUUAUAACACGUUAUCAGCACGAGUCCUACCUAGCUGAGUAAACCCUAGCCACCUAAGAAAACGAAAAAAAAAAAAAAAAAAACUAGCCGCCUAAACAAACAAAAUCUUAAGCUAACAAGAUAAGUUUUCUGUUCAUAUUUGUUUAUGCACGAAUUAUGCACAAAUUAUCUAUCAUUAGAUCUGUCUGUAUUUUUACACAAAUUAUGAACUAAUUAUCUAUUAUCAGAUCUGUUUGUAUCUCUAUACGAAUUAUACACUUAUUAUCUAUUAUCAAUUCUGUUUGUAUUUUUGUACGAUUUAUGCACGGAUUAUAUGUUAUUGAUUCUGAACUGUUUUAUGCAUUAUAUCGCAGAAACCCUAUUUUUGCACGAAUGAUCAGCAUCUGGAUUUUUGCACGAAAGAUAAGUUCUCUUCCAUACUUUUAUAAAGAUAAAGAUCUAAUGUUUCUUUGAAAAUUAAACUUUCAUAGUUGAUGCACUAUUAGUUUUACGUUAAUAGAGUUGACCAUGAAUAUUGUUUACCCUAAAUUUGCACGAAAAAAUUAUUUAAAAGAUCUGUAUUAAUUUUUUUUUAAUUUUUUUUUGAGUUUAAAAGAAAAAGAAAAAAGACUGUUCAUUGUUUUGCCCUAAUUUUGCACGAAAUUAUUUUACCCAAAUUUUACACAAAUUCAUAUUAUCCUAAAUAAAAGUUUUGUCAAGAUAUAUGUAAAAUCCAGAUUUUGCACAAAAUAGUUUUAUUCUGAUUGGUUUUACAAUAUUGCAUUAAAAUUGUAUUUGUAUAUAAUACUUGAUUAUUUUUAUGAAAUAAAUUGAUUGAUAAAUAACUUAAUUUAAAGGUAUAAUCACUUAUAGAAAUUUUUCAUGAAUGAAUAGUUUAAUGUAUCUUAAGAAGACAUCAUAAUUUUGAUGUUCAAAGUUUUUUCAAGAACUUAAAUUAUCACCAAAAAUUGAGAAAAUAAAUAUGGUAAAAAAAUAAGUAAAAUUUCUAACUUUUAACGAUGAAAUAAUCUAGUAUAUCAAGUAGUUUAAAAUCUUAUUAAAAGACUCUAGAAGAGCAUAUACAUUGUUUUCUAUGGGAAUACAAAAUUAAAAUCAUCGAUGCGGUAUAGUUCUCCAAAUCUCAAAGUUAAUAUGAUGAGAUAUAAAUACAUUAUGAUUCUAGAGUGGAAUUCAAUACGAGAUGGAUGAACUUGAAGUUUCAUCAUCUCGAGGAGGAGAAGUAAUGAAUGGAUAAUAAGUGACAUAUCCAGAAGAUUAUGUUCAAUCUUUGACUACUAAAGAUCUAAAAGUUAUAUAAAGCAAUUCUUAUAUGAAUGUGUUAUUAGAUAAAAUAAGUUAUAAUUAGUUAUUACUAAAACUUCAAGACUUGAAGUCUCUUUUUGAAUAUAACUCACAUUGUUAAGAGAAUAUCUCUGAUGCGGAGAUGGUAAAACAGACGCUUAAACUUUUACGCAAGUAUCGUUGUCCUGUAGACACAAUAUUUUGAAAGAAAUUUAAGAACUAUUAUGAACUUAAAUCGAGUGUUUUUCAAAGGCUAAGAAAAUAUAUGAGUUAUUGAUGAUAAGUAAUACUCAUAUUCUGAAGUGAAUAUAAGAUCUUACAUAGCUAGUCAAAUUAAAUUUAAUAUCGUUUAUAUUAGAAUAUAAAAUUUCAAUUAUUGUCUCGUUUAUUGCUAUAUUAACAUAUGAUUGAUUAUUAAAAUACAUGGAAGUAAUUUUGAUUAUAAGAUCCCAUUAAGGGAGUAACUCAUAAGCAAUGAAAAGUAAAUCAGAAGUUUUCAAAAAAAAAAACAAACUAGAAACUAGAAGUUUCAAGAGUAUAUUUGGCUUAACCGGAUUGGUCAUCCUGGUUUAAUGAUGAUGCGAAAGUAUUGAGAAUUAUGUGGACAUUAGGUGAAAAAACAGAAGAUUCUCCCUAAUGAUUUAUCAAUUGUUACUUGCUCAGAAAGCAAUAUGAUAAUGUGAUUUUUACCAGUCAAAAUAAUUUGGACUUUAUCUAUUCGUAAGUAUAUACAAGGAGAUGAUUAUGGGUUGAUCACCCACUGUACGACAUUUAGAUACCUAAUGGCUAUAAAAGAUGCAUCAAUUCAAUAGACGCAUUGACUCGAUUGUUGCAUCGACUAGAAGGUCAUAUUUAUCCUUGUUAUAAACCCGCAACAUAGAGUUUGCGAGGUUACUUUCUUGAUUAAAGUACAAGAGUAUUUCAGUGUUUAUUUAUUAUAACCAUUAUUGGAUAUCCGUUGGGAUAAGUGUUUAACAUUUUGAAAUUCAUGUUCAUACACAAAAUGGUUUAGUAAUAUCGAUACGCAUCAAGCCAAUGAAUAAUUAAUAGUUUUUCCCAUAAUUAUUGGUUUUGGGUAAGAAACCAAAUAGUUUUCAUCUAAAAUCUUUGAAUGUGAAAAGUGUUCCACCACAGCACGCUGAGAUAAACCCUCAAAGGAGGAUAAGGAUACAUGUUGGAUAUGAAUGAUAACUAAGCCAUCCUAGAAGGAUUUAUAUACCGCUCGUUUUGAAGAGUAUAUAGUCAGCUAUUCCAACAUAAGGGGGACAAUGUAUACAGCUGGUGAAAAAAAAAAGAUAAAAAGAAAUGAAUUAUCAAUGAUCCUCGGAGUAAAUAAUGUAUAUUAAGAGUCUAAAAGAUAAUUCAAUUACAGAAUUUAGCGUUGUAAUUGCCAGACGCAUUUGCUGACCCAAAUAAAGUGAUGAAGUCACCUAUACCAGUUGUAAAUUAAAUGCUCCAGAAUAUAAUGAAUGUCCUGUAAAGACCAAUUUCAAACUGCUAUUGAGUCUUAAGAUCGCAUGAAGCGUAACAGACCUUGGUUCCAAAUAUAAAUAUCCUCGUAAAAGUGAAGGAGCACAAAAUUAAAAAUGACCAAAUUGAGGAAAUAAAUAUUUUGAUGAUCUCUUGAAGAGAGUGAAUGAUCUCUAAAAGAGACAUAAACAUGACAAAUGAAACAUUCAAGUACUUGACAAUGAAGAGAUCUAGCUAGCUAUGUCAUGUCAAAAUAUAAUGGAAUCAAAAGCAAAUCGACGUCGUAAUAUAUUUGCAUGCUAUGAGUAGUUGAUAUUAUAGACAAAAAGGAGGAUCAUGAAAGAAAGUCUAUUGAAAAGUGUACACAAAGUAGUGAUUAGCCAAAAAUGGAAAAGAAGAAAUAGACAUAUAAUUAUAAUCUCUAGUAGAGAUAUUUGGACUAGUAGUCUAUGCACAUGAUGUGUAAAACCAGUGGAAGAUAAAUGAGUCUUUAUGUGAAAGAAUAGUGAAAUUAAUGAGAUUUUCAGAAAGAUACGAAAUGUAUUAUGAAGAGAUAUAUUCUCUUGUGGUGGAUGUAAUAUUUUUAAGUAUCUAAAGUCUGGCAAUAAGACACGGAACACUGGAUAUCACAUUUAUAUGAAAUUCUUGAAAGAUAUAAUCUCUGAAGGAUUAAUUAUAUGAGAAUUAUGUUCUCUAGAACUCUACUCGAUCGAAUAAAAAGAAAUAUGUAACAUGACAUAUAAUCCUAUAAAUGUCUAUUUAUGUUGAGUUUGUCAAAAUAUAUUGAUCAAACUAAUAUUUGUUUUGAAAAUCAUUAAAACUCCUAGAGAGUUAUCAUAAGUAAUACGAUGACAAUAAUCUAUGAUAAAAUAUCACUAGAUAAUGAUAUUUAUAAGUCUAUAUGAAAACCAUAUAAUUUUGAUCAUUAAGAUUAUGGUUAUUAAUUCCAACGAGAUAUUGUAUUUGAUUGAAAAUCAUCUCUUGAAGAAGAUGUUUCUGAGGGGGAGAUUGAAUGAUAUGCGUGGAUGUACCCUUUUUCCUUAUCAUAGUUUUUAUCCCACAUGAUUUUUCUAUGACAAGGUUUUUAACGAGACAUUAAAGAACACGCAAAUAAUACACUUGAUGAAUAUUAGGAAAUUCUAUCAAUCAUCCAAAUGAAUAUUAUACACUAAUGAUAUUUAGAGAAAUAAAUUAGAUGGUCAAGAUGAAUAAUCUAAAAGAUUCAUGAGCAGCAGAAGAAUGGCGUUGUACUUUAUCCAGAAAUUUGUUCAAGAGAAGAUUUGGCAGACUUAUUCUCAAAUACUGUUUAUUCUCUGCCACAUCUUCUAAUCAUGCAGAGAUUUUAUCAAUUCAUGAAGCUAGCCGCGAAUGUGUAUAGCUAAGAUCCAUAGUUCACCAUAUACAAGAAGACUGUGGUAUGUAUGCAGGGAAAAAGACUCCAACAAUUAUGUACGAAGAUAAUGCAUCAUGCAUCGCACAACUCAAAGACGGAUACAUCAAAGGUGAUAGAACAAAGCACAUCCUACCAAAAUUCUUCUUCACACACGAUCUACAAAAGAGCGGCGAUGUACAAGUUCUACAGAUCCGUUCGAAUGAUAAUCUGGCUGACUUAUUCACCAAAGCGCUACCUACUGCUACUUAUUCAUCGUAUCGGAUUACGCCGUCUCAAAGAUCUCGAUGAAUAUACUCAUAAGGGGGAGUAAUUGUGUGUUGCACUCUUUUUCCCUUAACCAUAUGGUUUUUCCCAUUGGGUUUUCCUGUUAAGGUUUUUAAUGAGGCAACAUUUUAAAUACUUUACGAGUUAUGAUACUAUAAUGGUCAUCAAGGGGGAGUGUUAUGAAUAAUAGAUGGAUGCCCAUUAUAAGGCCAAUCAUCUAGAUGUCUCUAGGGUUUUACCCUUCUCUUGUACUCCUAUAUAAAUGAUGUUUUAUUCAAUGGAAUAACACACUCAUUUCUUCUAUCUCUUUCUCUUGUUAUAACAAAAAAAAAGUUAUCUAUAUAUUUUUUAAAAAUGGGUAAACAAACUUAUUUUACAAUCAUUCAAGUAAAAAAAUUUGGGAUUUAUUUCGUUUUUUUUUUAGAUUGAUUAUGAUCUCUAGGGAAUUAAGCUAUGCAAAUUUGUAAGUUUUAUUAAGAAUAUUACUUUUCUUGUGGAUUUAUUCGUUUAAACAUCAAAGAAGAAUGAAAUCAUACCCUCAAAUUACAAGUUUCAAAGUUUGUGGAGAUUUAUGUAACUUAUCCAAUAAUGUUUGUUUUCAAUUUUUGAAGAAAAAGUUCAAAAUGAAAAUUUCCUACGGGCUUGACACACAUAAACCACAGACUCGCCAAAUUUCUAGUAGACUUCACAUAUAUGCGGAGUAACUUAAAAACUUUCUAGAAACAUGAGGAGGUCAAGAAGAUUAUCGUAAGCCGGGAGGAAGAGUGACGAGAGUAGAAACAAAAGAGCAUUGGUGAAUAUUCUGAAAUUCCUCAAGGAAGUUCAUAUAAAGACAACAUGGAGUCUCUAUGGACUCUUAGAAAAGCUCCUACUAACAAUUAGGAUGUUUCUCCUUUUAAUUUUUUUCGCAACACUCCCUAAAGAGACAGAAACAUAUUAACUAACAUCGAUCUAAGGUUAUGAAACUAAAAGCUAACUUUGAAAAUCCAGAAGCAGCUCUAUCUUUCCAAUUAGGCAGAGUCAAAACCUUUCUAAUGUCUCUCUUUCAUUUCCAAGUUUUACCUUAGAAGUAAAACCACAAGGACGAGCGAGACCGCAAGUGCAGCAGAAGAAAGUCCCCAAACCCAAUAUCGACGAGCCUUUCUACGGUUUAGGAUGGCCUUAGGGAGAGCUUCGGUUCCGCUUCCGCGGUGUUUGUACCUAAAACUUCUCUGCUUUGGAAACAACAAUCUCUCCUUUUGGUGUUUCUCUUUCCCUGAAACUGCUAAUGUCCUAACCUUUUCAUCAUUGAUUACUUGGUCUGAUUCUGAAGGAGAAGUAGAAUUUGCAGCAGCUUUCUUCUUCGCCUUUUUCUCACACUCCUGAAAACCAAACAAAGAAAUAAGAAACAAACUAAUGAUACAUUGAAAAAAUGGGAACAAGAUAAUAUAAUUGCCUUGAGUUUCUUUUCAGCUUCCUUUUGAGCUCUUAUAGCAGCUUUAGCAGCAGCUUUCUCUUGCAGCUUCCUCUUCCUUUCCAUCACUAACCGAGCUUUCUCUAACUGCUCUUCUCUUUUCCUCUCCUUCAAAGCUUCUUCAUCGAUCUCUUCUUCUUUCUUCUUUGGUUUCUCAUACACUAUAACAUCACUCUUCGUUUCUUUCUUUCGUUUAUCUGUAAUUACAUUUCCAUCUUCAGAAGAGUUAGAGCUUGAAUCUUCUCUAUUCAUCUUAUGAACCUUCUCGCUUCGCUUUAUAGUCUUAACCGGCACUUUCUUUUCCCAAAAAAUCUGAAGGUCAGCAUCUUUUAUCCGGCCAUCUUCGUUCAGUUCUCUUUCACAUAGUGAAUGCGAGAUUCUUCUUACGUAAUCUUCCCUAAAAGCCUUAUCAUCAUUCCAAAGAGUCAUGAAUCUAUCAACCUAUAAAAAGACAGAACCAAGAACAAAUGCUCAAAUCUCUCUCUAUCAAUGUUUCGUUUAGACCAAACAAACAAACUAACCUCAGAGCUAGCAAACACUUCAAGCUCUCUAACAUUUCCAGAAGCAGCCAAUUCUUUAGCUUUACACAUAACAGAAAGGCUCUGGAAAAAUGCAGCAUUCUACACAAACACGAGAAGCAUAUACCGAAAUGUUAUUAGAUCUUUAAGAUCACCCACAAGCAAAAAUUAACAGAAAGACAAAUAUCUUACUCCUUUGUCUCGUUGUAUCCUCAACAUCUUAAUCCUUGCAUAAAAUCUAUCCCUCUUCUCAAGUAUGUGUGCCUUUUCCAAAUCCAAAACCCUAAUGUUGUUUUGACUCUUCCACAAUUUGUCACUUAGGUCGUUUAUCUUCCAAGUAAUCGCAUCAAGCUCAUUCUUUACUUCAUUCAAUUCCAAAGCCAUAGACUAAUGAUGAGGCAAAAGAACCAUCACAACAUUAGAUUCAACAAUGUUUUAGCAAAUCACACAAAGAGUUAGAGUUUACCUUGACACGAUUUAUGGAAGCUUCUUUCUCACUUAGAAUGAUCCCAUCAGGCUUCUCAGUCUCCUUAAGCAUCCAAUCUUCUUCCUCCAAACCAAUGCUACCAUAUUCAAUCUGAUACUGAGCUAUAUAACUCUGCAUCCACCACACCAAAACACUUCUACAGUCAAAAACCUAACCGAAUUUUAACGAAUGGUUAGAUAAAACAGUUGUAUUACAAGAUGAUCAAGUUCCUCCUUUGUAAAACAAAGUUGAUCACUAGUAGUGCACCGGAGAUUCCGUAGAGCUUCAAGUAGAGUAUCAAACUCCUUCUUCUUCUCUUCAAUAACCAUUCUAUAUCCUUCAGAUUGAGGAACCAAACUCUCCAUUUGAGUAUACAAAGACGAAACCUCAGCCAGUUCGGAUUUCUUGGCGCUCAAGACAUUGAUUCGGAGUUCAUUACAACGAAAAAUCUCCUGAUUAGCUUCAUCGAUCUUGGCUUUAAUCUCGGGAUUAUCGUAAACAGGUUGCUUAACAAUGUAGAAAGAGAGAGGUUUAUCUCCAGACGAAUCCUCUUCAGCUGCAAGUCCCGAUGAACUAUCACCACCGGAAAAAAUAGUGUCUUCUUCUUCGUCGGUGGUGACCUCGCUAUUUGUCAAAGAUUGGUCGCAUUCGUAAAGAAUUAGAUCGUUUAUCUCGGGCGAAGGAACCACCUCGAAGCCAUCACAGAAUAUAAUCUGCUCAUCCAUUUUGAUUAUUUCCCUUGAGUCAAGAACAAGACAUGUCAAAAUGAAACUGAGGUCAAGACAGAAACUUAAGUCUACUAAAAAGUGCAAAAGAAAUAAACAAGAGAUGUGUUCCCAAUAGGCCAAUAUACUACAAGAAAAUAAAAAAUGGUAGGGAUUUAAUGGAAAAAAAACUGGUGGAGAUUUUUGUAGAAAAAUGGAAAAAAGGUUUUGACCAAAUUUAUACCAAAAUAUCCUUAUAAAAAAGUAUUUUAUACCAAAAGAAGUUUUUGACCAACCUUUUAUUAAAUUAUUUAUAUGUUUAGUAUUUAAUAUUUUAUAUCUAAAAUUAAAUUCGAAAUUUAAUUUAAUUUUCUCUUUUAACAUUUCGAAAUAUUAUUAUUAUUUAUUAAAAAAAUACCAAAUUUUAUUUAUUUAUUAAAAACAAAAAUGAUUUUUAAUUAAAGAAAAAGAAAACGGAGAAACAUUUUGCUCUCCGCCACCACCGUCUCCGGCACCUUCUUCUUUAUCUGCGUUUACUUCUUUGAAGAUUUACCUUUUGAGCAUCGGCGAGUGAUGACGGAGGAAGGUGACGAAAAUGAGAAGAAGGAGAGGAAAAUAAAGAUUUACCUUUGAGAGUGUGUUGAUACCAAGCAAAGAAAAAUCCUUGGCUGUCGAAAGAAACUACUGGUGGCUUGGAGAGAAGAUCUUCAGUACUAAAUGGUGAGAACUAAAAAAUGCAAAUAGGCUGUGAGAGGUUUUGAUGAUGUCGAGGACAUCAAGAGGAAAAAGGAAAUCAAAUUACGAUUUUACACCCUUUAUUAUAGGAAAAAUCCUAGAAUCAUAUUAAGGGUAAUGUAGAUUUUCUUGUAUUAAUAAUCCUCUCUUUUUUAUAUUCUUUCUUUUUAUCCAAAUUUGUUAUGUUGUGGACCUUUUCCUAUUCUUUAAAUUUUAAUGAUUUCUAAGUUUUGACAAAAUACUAAUUAUUUUGCAUUAAGCUAAUAUAUUCAUUGAUAAAAAAAAAAUCUUUCAUGUUUAAUGACAACAAAACUACAAAAGUCCGUGAUGUUUAAUGACAAAGGGAAAAAAAUGAGAAUAUGUACAAAAUAGUCAAAGUUUUGAGGAUAAUUAACGAACUAACCAUAUCCUACAGUAACUUGUCGGAAAACACGUGUAAUUACGUAAAUAUUUUUUGGAACACGUUUUUUCUAAAAUUACAUUUGAUAACAAAAUAUCUAGUAUUACACGUGUGAUCUUUUUAUCAUGCUAUUUUUUCGUAUUACACGUUAUUUAUAAAAAACACAUGAUAUUCCUUAAAAAAAACAUUUUAUUUAAUUUAAUAACUCUCUUUCAUAUAUUAUUUUCUAGUACUACAUGUCUUUUUUUAUUAAGAUCACACGUGAUUUUUUUUUUAAAAGAUUCUUAUUUCUUAGUAAUAAAAGAAUUAUAUUAAAAUCUAUUCAUAUUAAACAUUUCCAUAACAAUGUGAUAUCAUUUCAUUUAAAAAGCUAUUAUUUUAAAUACCAACAUAUGUUUUCGCAACACACUAUAUUUUUUGAAUAUCAUGCUAUUGUUUUAUUCGACAAAAUAAUUUUUCAAACAAAUAUAGUUUUGUAAUUACCAUAACUUAGAAGGAUAUAGUUUGAUAUUUAUUUCACUCCCACACCACCAUAAAAAGAGUUAGUUUGCAAAGAAAACUAGCAUAUAGUUAUUUUCUUAAUUUUGUGUAGAAUAUGAUUAUUUUUAAUAUUACCCAAAAAAAAAUAUGUCCUUAAGCUUAGGAUAGUCAAAGUCAACUCCUGUUUAUAUAAGUUGACUAUUAACUUAUCUGAAUUUGACUUGUUAAUUAGUAAAAUCCUCUCUUUUUUUCUUGCAUGAAUUCAUAUGUAAUAAUAACAAUACUUAUAGAAGAUUUUGGCAAGAAAAAGAAGAAAUAAAAUCUAAUUAUCUGACUAGAUAAACCUUAUUUCUUUUAUUCAAUAGAUAAAUUACUGAAGUUAUUGAUCCUAAAUGCUGAAAGAGCAUGGCCAUUGACCCAUUACUUGACAUAAUUUGAGAUAGUUCUGAAAAACAAAAUGUCUAACUCACUAACAUGUUUAGAUUUCUUUACCCAUAUUGUUUUCUAAAAUCCAUUUGUGGAACAAAUUUUAAUCAAUCAAUAUAUUUAAUUUUCGUCGUAUACCAAAAUUAGUAUGCGUUGUAUUAGUGUUGUCGUUAUGUCAAUCUAUAUAUUUAAAAUUCUAUAUCACUCUUUUUAAUAAUAUAAAAAUUCAGUGAAAUGAGUUUUCAAAUGCAACAAUUAUUGCUUUAAACUAGUUUUUUUUUAUCUUUGAAAUUUUUUCAAGCUACAUUUUGACGCUAAAUAUAACGUUAAUAAUAAAAACAAAUCUCUAUUGAUGGUUUACAGGGCAAUAUUUAAAUUUUGGGUGCAGUAUUAAUUGCCAAAAGAGAUGUUUAUUAAAGUAAUUAGCUAUGUUAGAGGACUACCCCAAAACAAAAUGUGUUCUAGCAUUUCUUUAUUUUUGCUAUCAAAAAGUGUUCUAGCAUUUAAUUAUCGGUUACACUAUUUCUUACUAAUGGACAAAUAUAUACGUUACAUUAAAAAGUUAUGCAACGGACAAACACACAAAUUAUAUGUCAACUAGUUUUAUUGCUUGUUCAAUUCAAAGCUGUUAAUUAUCGAAUAACUUAGUUUUCUUUUAAUAAAAUGUAGGAUAUAAUCACAAAACAUUUUAGAUAGCUUUCAUAAUAUAUACGUAUUUGUUUUUAAAUUACUUGACCAUUUGUUACACCAAUGUUUAUCACAAUAUCACCAAAAUUUCGACAAACCUUAAAACGUUAUACAUAUGAAAGUUUUUUUCUGUCAAUGUAAUCAAACAACUGAUUAUGAAAACAUCGGCUCUUUAAACUAAAAUAAAAAUAAAUAGUAGAUCACUUAAAGUAUUUUCUAUUGAAAAUUUUAUGUUGAAAGAAAAUACGAAAUUAUUUUAAAAUUUCAGUUCUUAUUAUUGUAUAUUAGAAUGUUUUCAAUGCUGAAAAUAAAAUAUCUUGUUUAAAAUAAAUUUACAUGUCAUGAGUUAUAUCGAAAGUAUAUUUCGAAAAAGACAAAACCGUAGCUUCAUAUCUUAUCAGAUAGAUGGUGUGUAGUUCGCCGACAUCACGACAUGUACGAUUAAAUGGAAAACAUCUAUUAUCUGAAUCGGUCUAAUUUAUGAGAGUCGGACAAAGUCGAUUUUUCACUGUAAAAAUUAUAAAAUAAACACUUUUUUAUAAAAAUGACACAUCUAUCUUUUGAAUAUAGAACAUACAGUACUUUUUGUUAAGGACCAAUCUAACAUUCAAAGCCUCCGUUUACGUAUACCUAUAAUGAUGUCACCUGCAUGUCUGUAUUUUUUUCCUCUCAUAAAUAUUAGAAUUUUCUUGAAAUUGUAAAUAUAAAUAAAAUUUAUCAUCAUUAUGAGUUAAGUUCUUAAUUUUUUUUGUGCUUGACAUCAUCUAUCUUCAUUCACUAAAUUUUGUAUCUUAUUUUUUAUUUUUAUUUUUAUGUAAUGAAUGUUUAAAUUUUAUCCAUCAAAAAAACCGUUGUUAUAACAGAUUUGUCAUAUCCAUGAUGUAGAAAAAACUGUGAAUCAUGUACUCUUUACUUGUUCCUUGUUGCAUCAGUUGUGGGCACUAUUAAAUAUCCCAUCUCCUCUCCUAUAGGUGGUUUUUCUAAGUCCAUGUUCUCUAAUAUCCAUUACCUCCUUAGUAUGUCGAAGUUAGCCGGAUUUCCGGAGGAGAGUAGACGAGUUGAAGAAAAAUGAAUAUGAAUAACUUUUCUUUGAAAGGUUUCUUUUUCAGGCAAACACGAUUAUUGCUUAAGCUUUUGAGGAUGUACGGUUGUAGUUUGUUUACUCAGGAACACACAUGACAUGCCGCAUGCGGGUCUUGCACCGAGGUUAGAUAAAUUUUGGUCUCCUCCUUUGUAUCAUUUUCUAAAGUACUGGAUAUGCUUGGUCAAAACAGCACAGUUCUGGUGCUUCUUGGGUCUUGAGGAAUGCUGCUGGUGUGGUCCUAUUUGUAUAGUCGCCGAGCCUAUUUUCAGGUUCUCUCUUCUGGAUGCAAAGAAAACGUGCUCUUUGGGGAUGUCUCCUACGAUAUUGUGAAGGUUCUUCUUAAGCCAAAUGACUGGCCGGUCUUACAUGACUGACACUUUGUUAUUAUAACUUUUAAAUAGCUGGGAUGUUGUUUCUGAAUCUCAGGUUAAUAACAACGGUGUUUUCGAUAUUGCAUGAACUGGUGGAUCUUUUGGUUGGUUGCAAGGUUUAUUCGAUUGCGAAAGAAUGUUUAUAAAUUAUGUUACCGUUAUUUAAUGUGUUAUGCAAGGUCUUUUUAUGUAUACAUGACCACAAACAAAUAAUUUAAAGGCAAUGAAGAGAGAAACCCUUACAGAUUAGAGCUUGGUUCAAUUCUGUAAACUCUUCCUAAAAAAAAACACAUUGGCUCCCUAAUUUGCUAUGCACACAAAGGCACUGCAAAUAAAAUAAGCUUGCCAAAAACAAGCAAGAAAGUUCUUAUUAUUAUACACAUAGUCACAAAGAAAAAUGAAUAGACUGUAGUUGUAUACCCAUAAAUAGAUUCAGUACCCUGAGUUCUACAGAGUGAUUGACGCGGGGCUUACUAGAUUAUACAGUUGCGGCUUUCGGAGACAGAAAAUCGGAGAUCUUGCUGGUGUAGAAAUCUGGUUGUAUCUUGUUCUCAGGGCUUUCCAACAUAGAGAUUGAAGUAACACCUUCAAGUCCACAAAAACAAAAUGAAUAAAAUGUUGACUGACAUAGAUGGUUAUAAACCGAGUUAGUGUCGAUAGAGGAACCGUUUACAGAUUAGUUAUACCCGAGAGGACGAGUAGAGUCUUACAACCGCCAUUCUGCCCGAAUAAAAUGUCAGUGUCCAAUCUAUCACCAACCAUGCAUAUCUGUGACUUUUGGAUUCCAAAUCUGCACAUUUUUUUAGCAGCCAAGUACCAUGAUCAGUGGUCAACACCUCAUUAAACAGAAUGACAAAAAAAGGAGUAGAAAGAAGGAAUAUGAGAAUCUGCAAGUCUUACUUGUCUGCUAAAUAGUCCAUCAUAAAAGUUGAGGGUUUUCCAACAACAAGAGGCUCACGUUGAGUGGAUCCAACAAGAGCACCAACCAUAGAGCCACCACCUGAGACCGCGUAAUCACAUCUUAAUUGGUCAAGGAUGAAAAAUAUGGUGAACAUAGACAACAAAAUAACGGUCCAUGACCAAACUUACUUAGGCACUACUUUUUUUUUUUUUUAUCCUAGCCUUUUCUCUUAUAGGAGAGGAAUAAAAUCCAAAUGCUCAAACUAAAGCUAAAUGAAAACAGUUUUAAAAAUGCACAUAAGAAGCCAACCUGCCCAUUCUUGAGCAUCAGUAAGGUGAGUGACAGCAUCUCGGUUUGUAGCGAUGAAAAGACACCCCGGGUUUUCACGGAUACAGAGUGUUCCAUACCUUCCAUUAAAAAGAAGCUGUUAGAUCACCAAACGCAGAACAAAAACAUCUAUAACGUAUAGCUCAACCAUAAACUAUCAAGAAUAUCAUUCCUGAAGUGUGGAAGGAAACAAAUAAUUGGAGAGACCUACUGAAUUUUGUAGUAGUUGAAAUAGCGAUCAAAUCCAACCACAACAGCUCCAACCUGCAAAGCAUUUUCAGUAUAACUAUGCUCAGUUUCAGUCUCAAGAACAACAAUUUCAUGUUUUCUAUAGAAGGUAUAAGAAGGAUGUCAUACAUCAUGAUCAUGCUCCAUUAGAAAACCUGGCUUCAAUUCAAUCUGUCUUUUACCAUCAUCCUGUAUUUGAAGAAAGAUCACAGAGAACAUAACCAAGACCGGGAAGUUAAGUAUCAGCCCAAACACAAAUCCGGGAUGCUACUAAGAAAGGUCACAAUACAUACCGGACCUCCAAGGUAUUGAAAACCAGCAAGCUCUAGCUCUUUCAAGAUACCUUCCUCACCAAUCACAUAGACCUAAACAAAUAUGCAUCAGAACUUGCAAAGACAUAAAGAGAUACUCUUGAUAUGACAUUGUACCACCAAAAACUGAAUCUUGAGCAUUUUGAAUGAAGUUUACCUUCUUAUCUUUUGGGAAAUUAAUAGACUGCAAGUAUGCAGCAGCAGCAAAAGAUGAAGCAAAUAUCUCCUCCUGUGAAAAAAAAUGAUAACUAUAAUCAAAAACAGGCUUAGUAGCACCUAGAGUAGCUAGAUUGUGAAUUAAGUCACUAAACCUCGUUAACAUUCAGGCCAAGAGUCUCGAACUUUUUUCCAUACUGUUUCCUAGAUUUUGUUGAGUUGUUUGUCACAAAAACCAAUCUCUUUCCCUGAAAAAAAAUCAGUAAUACCAAGAACAACAAUUGAUGUAAUGGAAGAAACAUUCAAAAAGAAUUUGACGCAUAACCAUUUCACACUUUAAAAUAAAUUGAACAAGAGAUUCGCUUACCAACCUUGGCACGAAGCAUAUCAAGAGUUUCAGGAACUCCCUCUAUCAAUUUAUCUCCCUUCCAAAUCACACCUUCAAACACACAAGAAUAAAGAAGAAAGCAAAGAGAAAAUUCAGCACAUUUUGGCUAUUUUGACAACCUAAACUAAUCCAUGAGACCUAUAGAAAACAGAGUAUUUUUGCUAUUUAAGGCGUCUACAAUGGCCAAAAAGAGACCACAGCAAUCUUCUUAUUCCAAAACUUGUAACAUAUACUGUUGUAACCUCUCAUUUGUAGUCAAUGCAAAUCAACACCACAACGCAUAAUAGUGAAGAAAAAAACCAAAGAUCUAAUCAAGAAACUCCAUCAUUAUAUCAACUCCCACUAUCUACACAUAAUCUAAACUAAGUGAUUAUCAGAUUUCAUUUUGUGGUUUUGUUGAUACUGACCAUCACAAUCGAAGAUAAAAGUUUCGACAGAAUCAAUGAGCUGAUCAGCGUUCUCAAGCUGUUGUGUGGCCAUAGCUCUUGGUGUAAUAUUGGAACUCGUCAUUCGAAGAGGCUUAUGGUUGAUUUUACGAAUACAGCCGCCACAGAAAGAAGAAGAACGAUAACCGGAGAGGGUUUUCAGACAGAAGAUAGGCUUUGAGUUUGGUAAGAGAGAAGAAGAUGAGACCGGUGUAACAGCAGAAGCAACUGAUCUACUCAGCAUUUUUCUCUCUUUUUCUCU